AGGAUCAGCCAUAAUGAUGUGAUCAUGCAGAAACCAUGGUUUUCUUAAGCGAGCGUCGGGCUAAAAAUGUUGGGAGAAGUCUAGGCAAGCAUUCAUGCUCUGAAUGAAGCCCACGCCUUUUUAAUCCGACCCACUUCAUGAAGCCAUGAAGCAAUUGAUGUAGAAGAGUUUGCGAGAGCCACAGUGCUAUACUUACGCAAGGGCUAGGGCCCUCUUCCUUUAUCCCGAUGCUCACUUAAGAAACAUGUUUUCUACCUCAGACCUUUUACUGAGCCAUCAUAUCCUUUUCUUUCAGAAACAAUUAUCGAUAAAAAAGGUUAACUGAAUAAAAGUCUGCAAUUAAAGUUCCUAACUCUAUUGCAUGCAAGGUUCGUUCAUGAAAACACCAGGUGUCCACAGCAAAUUUGACUGUGCAUGUGUAUGCUACAUGUGUAGAUAGUUAGAAUUACUUGUCUCUACUCAAACACAGAUACUACGAGUACAGUGCUUUUAUCCAGCGACUGUAUCGUGCAAGAACAAAAACUAACAGAUACUACGAGUACUGAACAAUAACGCUUCCUCGCAUAGACAGUUUAACAGCCAUCUUCGCUAUAUUUCAAACCAUAAGAAGUUACUCAACAAGGCUAAAUCCCCAUUAAAAUUACUCGAACGACAGAUGAAAACAGUAAUCAAGAUUCAGAUUGAUACGGUCUGCAACAAAUACAACGGGCAUCAUUUCAGAAUUCAGAUAAGAAUUAUGGAUAAGAACUCAAGGCAUUCUUAGUCGUCGAGGUGAGGCCUCAUGAGUCAGCAGCGGGCACCGCCAUUUCUGCUCCACAGUUGCAAAGAAACAACACGAGUGCCAAUUCGGAGCAAGAACUACGAAACCAGAUGACAAACAAAUUGCAAAGAAACAACACGAUUGUCGAUUCGGAGCAAGAACCACGAAACCAAAUGACAAUUAGCUACGAGCCUACGCGACGCUCUGUACCUUUGGAAACUCACAGAACCUACCCAAGGAGACUAUGACGAUGAGAGGAGGAAGAACGGCGCGACGGCGGCGGAGGGCAUCGACGAGAAACAGAUGGAAACCCUACGACCCUCCGCAAUGCUAAAGCUGUGGGCUUUAAUAGUACCAGCUCGAAGCAACUCAAGACCUACCAGCCCAUGUGCAUAGUUGGUCCCAUUUCGUUAGCAGGCUAUUUGCCAAUACUAUUUCGACCUAGGCCCAGCUAGCCGUUUGGAACGGUCCACGAAUGUUAGCGCAGUGUGGCGACCGCAGUCCGCAGCCGAGGUGAGCCAUGUCGGCGGCCGCCGUCCUGUGCCGCCUCGGCCUCCGCCUCCGCCGCCUCUCCACGCUCUCCGAACUCCCCGCGGUCGCGGCGGGAGCGCCGCAGCCGCAGCACCCGACCUCGAAGGACGCCUACUUCGCGGCGGUGCACCACCUCUCCACCAUCGUGCGGCGGGACUUCUACCUGGAGCGCACCCUGAACCGCCUCCGCCUCCCGUCCCCGUUCCCCACCGACCUAGCGCUCCGCGUCAUCCGCGCCGCCGCCCCCGCCGCGCCGCUCCACGCCACGCGCUUCCUUUCCUGGCUCCGCGCCAAGCCGUCCUUCGCCGCCUCAGCCGAGCACUUCGACGCGCUGCUCCUCCCACUCGCGCGCGCGCGGCUCUUCCCCCACCUCUGGUCCCUCGCCUCCGACAUGCGAGGCCUCGGCCUCCCCCUCUCGCCGACCACCUUCUCCGCGGUCAUCUCGUCCUACGGCCACUCCCGCCUCCCCGACCAGGCCGUCGAGGUGUUCAAUCGCCUCCCUCGAUUUGGCUGCCCGCAGACCACCGAGGUCUACAACGCCCUCCUCGACGCGCUCUGCGCCAACGGCAACUUCACCGGCGCCUACAAGCUGCUCCGCAGGAUGGCGCGCAAGGGCGUUGCACCCGACCGCGCCACGUUCAGCACCCUCGUUGACUCCUGGUGCGCGGCGGGGAAGCUCCAGGAGGCGCAGGCGUUCCUCGAUGACAUGGCGGGCCGCGGGCUCCGCCCACCGGUGCGCGGCCGUGACCUCCUCGUCGACGGGCUCGUUCGCGCUGGGCAUCUGGAGCAGGCCAAGGCCUUUGCCCUCCGUAUGACCAAGGAAGGCAUCCUCCCCGACGUUGCUACAUUCAACUCCCUUGCCGAGGCGCUUUGCAAUGCUGGAGACGUGGACUUCGCCGUGUCUCUUCUUGCUGAUGCUUCCAGUCGAGGCCUGUGUCCAGACAUCUCAACAUACAAGGUGAUGCUACCGGCUGUGGCCAAGGUUGGCAAAAUUGAGGAGGCAUUCCGGCUGUUCUAUGCGGCUGUUGAGGAUGGCCAUCGUCCAUUCCCGAGUCUAUAUGCGGCAAUCAUCAAGGCGCUUUGUAAGGCAGGACGCUUUGCAGAUGCUUUCGCUUUCUUUGGUGAUAUGAAGACGAAGGGGCAUCCACCGAAUCGCCCUGUGUAUGUGAUGCUUGUCAAAAUGUGCGUGAGGGGCGGUCGGUUUGUGGAAGCUGCAAACUACCUCGUUGAGAUGAGUGAGGCAGGGUUCACACCCCGGGCACCGACCUUUAGUGCUGUAGUUGAUGGCCUUCGACAUUGUGGGAAGCAUGACCUUGCCCGGAGAUUGGAACAGCUUGAGGUGUCCCUGAAGGGAAAUUAGAUAGGGUUUGGUUCUGGAGUUAGUUAGGAUGGAACAACUCUUCAGGAGCAGCUUCGUUCGAGGAUUUUGGGAAGCAUAAUUUUCUAUUUUUAGAACCACUCGAUUUUAUAUGAAAUCAUCCAAACAAAAAUAAAUUAGGAGCAUAAGGGCUCAAUUUUACCAUAUUUCGGAACCAAACACUAUCUUAAGAUAACGUUUAGUUCCGAAGUAUGGUGGGACAGAGCCAUUUCACUCUCAGUUUAUUGUUGUUUGGAUUGGUUCCACGUACGAUGGAGUGAUUCUAAAAAUGAAAAAAUAUGUUCAUUCCCAAAAUCUUCUGGACAGAGCCGCUUCCGGGGACGGAGCUGUUGUAUCCCAAGUGACUAUGGAAGCAAACGCUAUCUAAAUAGAUGGGGAACUAGAUGCGGUUUUCUCUUCCAGUUUGGACCUUGCAAGCUGUGUGGUGCUGCUACUAGAUUUUCAGGUAGAAAUGACACUUAUAUUUCUUCUUCGUGUAAAUUUAAUCUCGUCAUAAGCCAGUAAAAUCUGCUGUUUUGUUGUGCCUAACAAGAUUUACCAACUUUUCAAGUGUCCAAAAUAAGAUUGAUGGAUUGUUAUUUUUUUAAUCUGUGAUUUGAUCGUCAAUUCUGUGGUUAAAUAAUGUACACUUUUCGUUAAUGAAUUCACAGUUGAGUUGUGCACUGAAAGUUAUCAUGGUCAAAAGAAGUAAGUACAGUAAGUUCAAUCCGUGAUUGUGCUAAAUGGAUUUAUGUACUGUUGAUUGUCCCCAUUGAUGCUCAAUAAUGUGGAAGAAAUACUCAGAAUAUUUUGAUUGAAUACCAACUUUAGGAGGCAAGUUACCUUUGUUGUAUAGCUCAGUAGCUCACUGUUGCUGUUUAAACCACUGAUACGUUUGCCAAUUAACUGUCUUAAAAUUACGUUGCUUUUACUCGUUAUUUUUCAUCUAAAAAUUUGUCUCUCCUGUAAACCUUACUUUCUUAAGUUCCUAUGGUGAUAAAACCAUAUACAUCAAACUCUGUUAAUUUACAAUUUUACCCUAGGACAGUAGAAGGCAAACGGGAAAUGAAGUGACAAUUCUUUUAGCAGCUAGAUGCUUGGGUGUUUUUUUUUCUACUAAGGCUCUUUUGAAUGUAGAGCUAAUAUUUAAAAGCUAAAAUUAGCUGGAGAUAUUCAAAUAACUUAGCUAAUAGUUGGGCUAUUAGCUGGAGACAUCCAAACACUUUCAGCCAAUAGUGCAGCUAACUAUUAGCUACAUCGUCAACUACACAUUAGUUUAUUGGUUGGUUCAAACCAGCUAAAAUCAGCUAAUAGUUAGUCAGCUAAUUCCACUAGUAAUUUUUUAGUCAAUUAACUAUUAGCUCUAGUGUAAAUAGAGCUUAGAAUGAUUGAAUGAAAGAAUGACAUCAGUCGGGUAAAGAAGGAACUUGUCUACAUGUACUACUACAUUGUGCAGUAUGUACAUAUGGCACAUCUAAAUUGCUGGGAUUGUCUAGUUUUGUUCUAAAUUACUAAAUACAGAGACUAAAAAAAAUUGUUUCUAUUUUUUAGUCUUUGUCUUUAGUAAUUUAUGGAAUAAACGGGCUAAAAAUGCAAGGACUAAAAAAUCUCUAGAAUUAGAACCCUAUUUUCCUAACGUCCUGUUUGUGUCAUUGGAAUUGAAUUCCAUUCUAAUAAUAAUAAUUUAGAUAUAUAUCAAUUAAGAUAAUUCGGUUUUAUGUAAAAUAUAUUUGUAUACUAUUAUUAGCAAGAUGUCGGAGACAUUUAUGUGAUAAAUUUUUACUAUACAUGAGUGAGAUGAAGAAGAGUGGCAUGCAAGUUACAAAGUAGAAACAAAUUCUACUAAUGCAUAAAGUCAUUUCCCAUCCUCCAUCCUAUGAAUUUAAGAUAGACUUAUAUCUGAACUUUAAAAAGUGGUGGAAUGUCAAAUUCCAAACAAAAUAAGUUAAUUUAUUUAGUGAAUUCUAAUUCCUCUAAAAUAAAGGGAUCCAAACGUCCCUUAAGGGAUUUUUAUUUUUUCAAGGAAAAUUAGUUCAUUUUCUCUUAUAAAAACGAAAAUCCCCUAGAAAAAUAGGUUCUCAAACUAGCUCUAAAUAAAUAAACGUGCCUAAAUUUGUCCUACGACAGAUGUUCCCCAAAGUGAGCAUAAGGUAACACCUGAAGCUCAAAACAAUAUACCAAUGAGAUUUGUGGUUGAUGGUAGAAAAGGAUUUAUCUGUCCGGUAUAAAUGUGAGUUUUGAGUGUAGAGUACAUUGUCUUGUUAGUACUCAGGAAAAUUGUAGCACCGGUAUUUGUCUACUGGGAUUGCAAGAUUUCUGAUAAUAAUAAUAAUAAUAAUAAUAAUAAUAAUAAUAAUAAUAAUAAUAAUAAUAAUAACAACAACAACAACAACAACAACAACAGUAAUAAUAAUAGUAAUAGUAGUAGUAGUAAUAUAUAUAUAUAUAUAUAUAUAUAUAUAUAUAUAUAUAUAUAUAUAUAUAUAUAUAUAUAUGGUAGGUGUAUUAGGAGCUCUGGGCUUUCUCUAGCUAUAAAUGGUAUAUAUAUAAAAUUGUAGCACCGGUAUUUGUCGACCACUCCUGUGACCUGGUCCAGCUUGGCGCGCUCACUGCACCCACUCGCUAAGCCAGGCUAUCUCUGUGCAUGCAAAAAAAUAUAAAGGCAGGCAUGAGUCAAACCUGUUUUCUUGCACGCGCGUAAAUUUAGAAAAGAAAUAUAUGACUGUUUCUAUUUUUAAAUGUUUGAUUUCCUCCAUAAAUAUAGAAUCGCUGCAAUAGACUUGCAACUAGACUUGUCGGGACUAAUUUAUGAUAUAUAUUGAUACUAAUUAUGCUAUACAAUAUAGAUAUUUAUGCAAUUCAGUACACUACAUAAAAAUUUGUUACAUGCUGCAUGCACAAAAUUAGGACGACAAAAAUAUAUGAUGAAAUAAAAUAGAUUGGAAUGUAUGAAAAUAAAAAUUAUAUUUAAUGAUUUAUUUCCUUUAUAAAUAUAGGAUCGCUACAACAGCCAUGUAGCUAGGCUCGUCAGGAUCAGUUUAUGAUAUAUACUGAUACUAAUUAUGCUACACUGUGUAGAUAUUUAUGCAAUUCGGUACACUGCGUAAAAAUCUGUUACCUGCUGCAUGCGCACAAAAUUAGGAUGGCAAAAAUGUACGAUGAAAGAAAAUAGAUUGACAUGCAUGAAAACAAAAAAUCGUAUUUAUUGCUUUAUUUGCUUCAUAAAUAUAGGAUCGCUCCAACAGCCAUGUAACUAGACUCGUUAGAACCAGUUUAUAAUAUAUACUUAUACAAAUUAUGUUAGACGGUGUAGGUAUUUAUUCAAUGUUGUAUACUGUGUAAAAAUAUGGCACGUGGUUCACUGGUGGACGCAUCUCUAAGUUCGAGCGUAAAACUCUUAAGUUUUGAGCAUAAACCCCCUCGGUUAUAAGCGUAAAUACCGAGUCAAUGUGAGAGGUUGAUAUCUCUUUUGGGUUGUAUUCACGAUCCUAUUUUUAUGUCAGUUCCGAAAAAUAUGGGAGUCGCAUCCAUGGGGUUUCUAUUUUUCUGCAGAUCCAAAAAUUAUGGCAGAUCGUUGGAGUUUCCAUUGCAUGCGUAAAAAUUUUGGAUGAUAUUUUCGUUUCCACUGCAUGAAUGCAAAAAAAUAGGAUGACAUAGUUCACACAGAGCAUAAAUUCAUAUACAAAGUCGCAUGAAUACAUACACUGUGUAACAUAAUUGAUAAAAAAACCUAAUAUCAGUUCAACUAAGAGCCCUCGCGGGAAUUAAGGACAGUUUUAUGGCAACAUAAAAUCAUAUUCAUCGUCAUAAAAUCAUCACUGGAAUAUAUAUAAAUAGUGUAAGUAGCAUGCAUAAAACAUAAUCAUAGAUGGCAUAAACAUGGAUCGAAUAGUUCGUCGGAGGAGGACGAUCCCGAGGCCGCUAGAUCAAAGGACGUCGUCGAAGCCACCGGAUCGGAGGAGUUGGUCGUCGAAGGGCGCCAGAGCCACCCAUGCCUCGUGUGACCGCCAUCGCCAGAGACGACCGCGCCUCGCACAACCGUCGUUGCCACCAGGCCUAGGGUGCGCCGUCGCCGCCCAUCCGCUUCGGGAGCGCCGUCACCGCUUGCUCGCCUGCCUCGGAAAGCGUCGUCGUCGCUCGUUCCAGGUGGAGCGCCGCUGUCAGUCGCCCGCCUCGGGGCGGCACCACCGCUGGCCCCCAGGAUCGCCGCCGCUCGCACGCCCAAGGGAACCGCCGCCGCUGCUAAAACCUAAUCCCUGGCUGCGUUGGAGUGUUUUUAUAGCAGCCCGGACCUGGUCCGGCUCGACUAGAUUGCACCGUCUAACUUAGGCUUCCUCUAGUUAUUGAAAGUUCAGGGCUCGUAAUAUAUAUAUACUAGUUAAAUUCCCGUGUGUUGCCACGGUUUCCAUUUAUACUCAUCUUGUUGUCUAGGUGGGUGCGAAUAUGGAUUUGGAACCAAUAAUAAUGUUUGAAUCCUUUGUUUGUGCAUAAUUUGUUUUUUUACCAUUUAAAUGUGAGGAUCUGGUUGACGCACGACGCCCGUGAAAACGGUGGAAACUGGAUGUCUCUUGUACAUGAAUCACCAACAAGCUACGGAGUGCAGGACACGCAACAAAAUUUUGAUCAUGCAAAGUCAUCAUAGAGAUAAUGCAGGCAAGCAUCAAUAUUUCUAAAACAAAUCAAUUUUGCCAUUAUAUAGAAGGAUUGAGAUGAAAGAACCAUCAAAUUCUAGAGUUUUUUUGUUCACUUGCAAAUCCAAUCCAUGGUGUCUCACAUAUAUGAUGACUUUGGAAUGCUCACAGCUAACCAGGCCACGUACGUUGUUUGUAUCUUCCCUACUCAUGCCACCUGAUGUUUUUGGGGCAGCCAAAUUAGUCGUGGGUUGCUGCUAUUGCUGAAUAUGGCUGACAACAUCCUGAACAAUGUUGAUUGAGGUUUGGUACCACUGGAUCUAGAAGUUGGGCCACAUGCUUCUUUGCAGUUCACACCAUCGUCAUCCCACCAUGAAUUUGUUAAUAGUUGACAGAGGGUGUUGUUGUGUUAGACCUUAGUGUGCCAAUAAAUUUUUUAAAAUAAACAAUAGUGUGCCAGGGAUCUAGGAAUAUCAGAAGAGCCUUCUUACAAAUUUGGUAGGCAUGACAGAACCUCCUCACACACCAUUGAUGUUUGCUUGCAGCGGCAUAGAAGCGAUCAUUGCUACGCACAACAAUCUACGACCACAUAAACAAUAAGGACUAAAUACCAUGAACGCCUUGCUUGACACCCCUUGAUGGCAUUAGACCAUUGCUGGCUAUUGCAGUCACCAAAACUACCAGUAGCCUACAUUACUGAAAAACAUAAAAUUUCAAUAGAUACAAAUAAAUCAUAUCAAUAAGUGUAUUAGUACUAUGGUAAGAAAAAAGUCAACUUCUCCUUUAGUAGUUGUAAUCAAUAAGAUAUCUCAUGUAUAUUCAAAUUUUCUCCUCUCAGUUAAUUCCAGCCUGCAAGGUUGGAGUAUAGCCAAUCAUUCACUAUGAUGUCAAACAAAAUGUUUAGCUUAUGAAACAUUAGCAAUCACACAUCUGGAGAAUAUGGUGAUGUAAACAAAAAGAAAGAGAUAUUCCAUUUUAUGCUAUUCUCAACAUUAGGACACAUAUCACGGACAGAAACAAAAACUCACAAUUUAACUCAUGAAAUAGAUUGGAUAAGUUCAGCAAAUAGUUUUUUUAAGGACAAGUAUUCGUUUUAGUUCAAAAUUCAAUGAACGCAAGACACCACUUCUCUCAAGUGUGUAGCUCUGCUAAACAUUACAGUCAGUAACCAAGUAUCUCCUUAGCUAUUUAUUUAAUAAUAAAUCUGGCUUAAAGAAUAUCAAGUGAUGAGUAGAUAUUACAACAAAUCGAUCAAUGCCUCAUGUUCCUUAUUGUCGGUGUUUCGACCCGGGGGUCCCUGGACCGACGAGUAAAAUUGUCGCUGCGUGCCCCAGCCCAGAUGGGUUGGCGCGAGAUGGAACACAAGGGGGGAAAACCGCGGCUCGUGUUAUCCUGCGCCAGAGUGGGUGCGCUUGCAGUAGGGGUUACAAGCGUUCGCGAGGGAGAAAGAGAGUGUGAGCCGGUUCGUCAGCCCGUCCUCCCGCGCGACCACCCUCACGUAUGAGGGCCCUGGCCCUUCCUUUUAUAGAUGCAAGGAGAGGGUCCAGGUGUACAAUGGGGGUGUAGCAAUAUGCUAAUGUGUCCGGCAGAGAGGAGCCAGAGCCCUAUGUACAUGCCAACGUGGCUAUCGGAGAGGUGCUAGAGUCCUGUGUACGCGGUGUCAUGGCCAUCGGAGGAGCGUUUGAGCCCUGUAGAAGCACAGCUGUCGGGGCUGCUGGGACCUUGCUGACGUCUCCUUGCUUCCGUAGGGGGCUGAGAACCACCGUCGUCAUGGACGCACGCGGGGAUCCAUCAUUACUUGUUACCGGGGCGAGCCUGGAUGGGACGCCGGUCUUGUUCCCCCGUAGCCUGAGCUAGCUAGGGGUAGGGUAAUGAUGUACCCCCUGCGGCGUGGUCGGUCCGAGCCCAAGGUCGGGCGAGGCGGAGACUCCUCCUGAGGCCGAGGCCGGGGUCGGGCGAGGACGCGAUUUCUCCCGAGAUCGAGGUUGAGGCCGGGCCCUGGGUCGGGCGAGGCGGAGACCACCUUCCGAGGUCGAGGUUAAGGCCGAGCCCUGGGGUCGGGCGAGGCGGAGACCACCUUCUGAGGUCGAGGUUGAGGCCGAGCCCUAGGGUCGGGCGAGGCGGAGACCACCUUCCGAGGCCGAGGCGGGGGCCGAGCUCUAGGGUCGGGUGAGGCGGAGCUUCCUGUUGCGCCUGAGGCUGGACUCAGUUGCUGUCAGCCUCACCCUGGCGGGUGGCAUAACAGUCGGAGAGGGGCGAGCAGCGCUGUUUUCAUGUUAGGUCAGUCAGCAGGAGGGCGAAGUGACUGCGGUCACUUCGACCUUGCCGACUAAGGCACGCGUGUCAGGAUAAGGCGCCAGGAGAUCCUUGCAUUAAAUGCGCCUACGAUAUGGUCGGUUGGUGAGGCGAUUUGGCCAAGGUUGCUUCACAACGAAGCCUGCCCGAGCUGGGGUUCGGGCGAGUCGAGGGUGCGCCCGUUGCCUGAGGAGGCCCUCGGGCGAGGCAUGAAUUCGCCUGGACUACUGUUCCCGCCCGAGGCUGGGCUCGGGCGAGGUGAGAUCGCGUCCCCUGAGUAGACGAAGCCUUGACUUUAAUCGCGCCCAUCAGUCUCUGCAGCUUGUGCUGAUGGUGAUUACCAGUCGAGUUUAGGAGUGUUGGGGGUACCCCUAAUUAUGGUACUCGACACUUAUAUAUGCAUUUUUUAUAAUAUAUCUUUCUUAAACCUCCUAUGAAGAGAUUGGCUGAUUUACUAACUUUAUACAAAGGCUGCAAUAGCCUUAGAGAAGGCCAUCAGCCAGGAUCAUCGUCAAGUUAUUAAGUGAGCAAGUGAGCCUCAGCAAAGAGGGUUUCUUAGGCAAGCUUGGCUUGCUGCUGGGACCAGUAGACCUAGGUCGCCAGGACCCAGUCGAGCAGCUCCUAAAGCACCGGCUCGCCAAGUCGCUGUUGCAGCGAGAUGCUCGCUCUGUGUACCGGAUCGGGUUAGUUAGCGUGCAAGAAUGUGUCUUCUUUGUUUUUGGUGAACCAUUCUAGUACUAAAACCCACAAGUGCCAAACUAUUGGUUAAAUUGGCCAAGUAAUCUAACCCCACUAAAGAUUUUGCAUAAAGCAUAAGUAUACAAUCCCGUGCAAAAAACUCCUUCCACAACAAUUAAAAAGGUUCGGCAAAAGAAGGAAAUCAAGAGGACCAAUCAAUAAGACAACAAGGAAACUAAUUAUUAGCUUUGACAAGUACAUGCAAAGACAUAUAUUUUUGCUUUAAUGAGAAUACAGAAGCCAAGGAAUUCUGUUAGGUUGAAUGGGGGGGAUAAGAAACUAUACCUUCUUGUUCCAUGCUUUUCGAUUGUGAGCACAGGUGCUUCGACUUCAGCAACAUAGAAUGGGCGUCAGAUCCUGUGUUGCCCCUGCUCUGGUGACCAUUUAGACUUAUUUGCUAGAACUACAGGUUCUGCUUUGGGGUCUGCAGCUAGAACCGAAAAAAGGCUCAUGAGUUUGUGGAUACUUUAUUAGGCGAUGAUACACCAAAGUAGUGUACAAAAUCAUGAUCACUGCCAUGAUAGUUCAUUGCUAAUGUGAUAUGUCAACUUCACCAUGCUUAGAAGACGAGUCAGCAGCAAUUCUAUAUCCAUUGAUUCUACUUCAUGGAUUUUUUUCUUCAUUAGUAAAUAAGUCAGGACUGUCUUCCUGCAAAGAAAAGGUUUGUUUGGUCAAUGAAAUAACCAACAUGCAAAUUAACUGGAACCUUGAAAUUGUUAAAGUUUUCCAACUAUUAUUACAGGCUAUAACAAAAGAAAAUAACAGAACAGGAAGCAAGACAUCUAUUAGUCAAACAACAUGUCAUAUCUAGAAAACUAAGAGUACAUUACUUUGCUUUUAUAAUGCAUUUGAGCAUUUCUACAUAAAAACAAAAGUGAUGGUCAUUCUGUCUAACAAACUUAUCACUACGCCUCAGAUUAUAAAUUUCUAAAUUUACUGGUAAGCAGCUAUGAUUAUUAGUAUUUAGUAGUGUGAUGGCUGGUUUUUUUCAAAGCAUAAAAAACUGCAGUGCUAGCAUUCUAGGGCAAAGGGAAGCACUAAUUGUUUCCUCUGUACCUAACAUGGUGAAAGAUGCCUAUACCUAACAUGGUGAAAGAUUCCUAUUGGUACCAUUCAGUAGCUCCAUAAUGCAUUAAUUAAUUUGAUGUGAUAAGAAGAAAGUAGAAGUCACUCUGCAUGACAUGAGAUUUGAACACUGAGUAUAAGGAGCUAGAAACGCCGAACCAUUUUUAAGCUAAGUUGCAUGGCAUGAACAAAUGUUAAAGCCAUUGAUUUAAAUACUCGGACUGAUAGUAAAAUAUUUACCACCACCACCAAGGCCAUACACUAACCUGAUACACGUCCAUUGGUAGAUAUGUAGGCCAAUAGCUGUAAAGCAAAUAUAUUUUAUCAGAACUACACAAACAUGACCAACAACAUCAAAAAGCCAGCUUGUCAUGCUAGGACCCUAGAGCACAUGAAUGAGAUCAAGUCUCCAAAGCUAUGAACAUGUUGUAACAAGAGCUAGUAUCAAAGCAAUGUGGCAAAAAAUAUUUACCCUAUUGUAAGCACAUGGCCACUUAUUUCAAUGCUGGAGGGAAGCAUUGUCCUAGCUCGAGAUGAUUGCCUGAAUGAAUCAUUUAUUUCUUUGGACAACUCAAUGUCCUACAAAACGAGACAAAUGCAGCGUUCACCUUCUUUGUCGUUGUGUUCGCCGCCACGAUGUCGACGUCAAGCUCCAGUCCCACUAUUGUCCCCAAAUCAAUACCAUACAUACCUGGUAUAUUACUAUUUAUCAGUCAACAUUUAGAAAAUUAGGGAGCUCAUCAUUCAAAAUUGUAAACGAUUGGUAAAAUUUAUUACUAUUUAGUAGUAGUCUGGACCGCUACACCUAAAGGUUGUGCUCUGCAGGAAUGGAGAGUAGUAGGCGGAACAGCUGCACCUGGUGGUUGUGCUCCCGCGUCGCCACCGCAUCGCCCACCUUUCUUUGUCGCUGCGACCUAGAGAUGCAAGUCAAACUUUGGCAACCUUUGUCUUGGCACAAAGCAGGUCUAGCAAAACAAUAUACAAGUCAGUAUCAGUUAGCAAGAACAUGCAUUAAAAAAUAAAACAAAACAACAAGUGAAGCAUAUUCUCCUCUAAUACAAUGAGGUGCGGUUCUCCUGCUUGUUAUAGGAAAAUAAGCAAAGAAAAUUACAUAUGAGCUUAUACUGAAUGAUCAGCUCUAGCAAUACACAAUAUUGCAGAAAACAGUUGGUUAACAGUUGUACAAAUGUGUAGACCUUUCUGUUUAAGUAGUUAUAUGCUUGGCAAAUAUUCUAAAAUGUUCCACAUGAUCAAAUUCCAAAUUCAAUGACCAAAUGGUUACUUACAAUGACUGCAUAUAUAUUUUUGCUCAGAAAUAAGUCUUGAAUCCUAGCCUUUGGAAAGCUACGGAGUGAUUCAAUACACUCCUAGAAAAACUUACUUUAAUCUCAAUUGCUCUCAUUUAAUACAGUGUAUGAUAAUUGUUUGCCUUUCAGUCUGAUCAUUCCUUGAUGACCGCCGGGAGUACAAUUUUAAAAAAUAUAUCAAGGAUUAAUUAAUUAUUUAAAAGCUCAAUCAUUAACCAAUCAGUGAUCUAGGACAAAUUCUAAUCUAUAUGCUUGUGAAGUUAACCAGGUUAUAUAUCGGAGUUCAUUGAGAUGAAAACACAUAUAAAUAUUUACUGACACAUUCGCGCACCAAAUUUAACUCGACCAACAAACAAUAGAUAUGCCUAGAAGUAACAUCAACAAAGUAAAUGUAUAGAAUAUCAGUAAGCUUAUCACCGCAGAAGAACUGAGCCCUGAACUAUCAAGACCUUUCACACAAGAAAUAUAUCCUAUGAUACCCUACAAGAAAUCAUUUGCUAGAAAUAUAUCCUAUGAUCAAAUCGAAGUACGCAGCAGCAACACAAAUACUACAAACUAAAGUGAAUCAAUGCAACCAUUGUUUCAUCAUCCUAGAAAGUUCAUAAUUUUGUCUAUACAUCUUGUCUAGCAAGAGACACCAAACACACAAAAUCAAUGACGACGAAAACUCAAAUUAGACAUAAUCGAUACACAGUCAGUCGAUUCCUCUUAGUUUGUCUACAUCAGUUGACAACCAUGAUAGAUAGUAUUAGUUACUCCUAGUUAGUUAUCCCCACAUAAAUAAAUAGAAGUUAGGGAGUUCAUAGGAGGGCAACAGGAGCGAGCUUCCCUGAGUGUAUGCAUCCAUCAUAUUAACACAACGAAAGGGUGGCUAUGUCUUGGGUCGUGGCCCCAUCCAUACAUAAACAACAAAUCACUUGUUCACGCUGAGAAGGUCGAUCAAGGGGAGAGAAAGAAGGGGAGGAGUGUCAUGUCGAGGAACCCCUGGUGGAGCUCCAUGAAGUUGCGUUCUACCUCGUGCGUCGUGACAUGGCGGUCCUGGAUCACGUGCACCGCGGCGAGAACGACGCCCAGCUCCACCACCCGUAGUGGCUGUCGUACAAAGUCGCUCCCUUAGGAGAUGACUGGAUUUCGUCGCCUGUCAUGUCGUCCUGCCAUUAAAAUGAACACAUCGUCAUAUCUCUAUGUCUUUCCUCGAUAAUAGAUCUAGGUGGAGGACUUGCCUCUGCCAUUAGCGGGUUCUCCGUGCAGGCGGACGAACAUGGCAUGCCUGGAUCCAGUGUCUAUCAUAGCCGCGGUGCGCGCGGAGGGCGUCUGCUAGGCACAACGACUUGCCCUUCUCAUUGGCGCCCGGAUCGGUGCCAACACUUACCUUCUCCCAAGCUCAACUUCACUAACAUCAGCAUCGAUCGAUAGAAUCUAACAUGGACAAUAACAAUGUGGUGAGACUAUAUCCUACUAAAAUUAACAAUUACAGAAACAUAUAGUAAUGCCUUUAAGAUCUCACCUCAUCCAUCAGAUACCUCUCAAACUUAAUAGCGGAUUUUGGUAGCAAUACACCGAUAGAUUUCUUUAUGAAUAAAACAAUUUUGUCAUAACAAUCAAGUAUAUAAAACUAUCAACUUCUAAAAACUUCAGUAAUACAAUUUCACACGAUUGUACAUCGAUGCUGGUAUAGAAAAAGUUGACAAUCAAACAUUGAGAAAAAGUUGACGAUCAAACAAAACUUAAAUAGCAAGUAAACAUUGAUAACCAAACAGAGUAAAUAUUACAAAUCCGUUGGUCAAGAUGUUCUAUUACCCUUUAGUAACCUUGGCUACCAGGGAAUCCAAAGACCAUUUCUAAACUACAAGCUGAAAAUGAAUAUCAAAUAACCUUCAAAUAAAAAUGUUUAGGCGCAGUCAUACAGAGAGUUUGCUAGAACUAUAACUCGAUGUCUCACUAUGAAUUGAAGGUGCAAAAGAAAUUUGAAAACUAAAUUAAAGCACUGAACGUAGGUUUAAUAUGUAUAUAGAGAUAGUGUAAUAUAGAUGCAUAGCAAAAGCUAUAUCCCUGAACAAGCCAAAUCAACUUACAGUUAAGAACAGAGGUAAAAGCUUGGAUAAAUUCUGAAAUUGACCAUUAACAAAUAGAAAUGACUUGACAAAAUUUUAAAUUUCAAGGAGCUCUAAUUAAUGCAUAAUUGUUUCUCUAAAUGCAAUGGCAUGUCAAAACUUAAUAAAAGCAUUAGGAACUGCAAUUGUCAUACCUCGCUCAAGCAGGAUGUCAAUGAUUAGAGAGAGAGUUGUCGGAGAGUGAAAAGGUGCACACCCCUCCUCGCCCUUCGUGUUCAGCAAGCUUGAGAGCCCUAAAAAAGUUAUCAAAGCCAACAGGACAUUAUUGUCGUGAAACAUAGCUCAUCAGGUGACACUAAUCAGAUCACUAUAUAUGGUACACAUAAGUUACUAAAAUUCAAAAAACAAUAGUAGUGUCAAUAACAAUAAAGUUAUUUAAUGAGUCUAAAUAUCAUUACCUGAUUCCUGACCUAAGUUGCUUUGAGUCUGGUAGUAAUCUAUAGUCUCAUGGUAUUACACUGAAAUUUACCCAUCUGCCCAGUUACACUGAAAUUUACAUUGACGAGUUUCCAAUAGCAAUAAACAUGUAAGCUGAAGCUUCUGAGUUCUGACAUCAUCCUCAAUCUACAAUUACACCCUGAAAAUGUGAAACGUUAGUAAAGGGACCUCAUACUCGACUUUAAUGUACUAAAAGGCACCAUCACCAGACAGGGUAAAAGUGAAUUCCAUUAACUGCACAUAAGUUACAACAAAGAACAAUCAUAUGCCUGUUUAUAAGGAAUUCAGGCAUUGCAACAGCAUAUGAAGUCGAAAACUAAUGAAUAAAGCAGCUGACCAGUGAUUUAAGAUAAUGCAAAGUUUAUUCCAAGGCUCCAGGCCAGAUUGCUUGUCUUCCUUUUAUAUUCAAGGUUACAAAAAUUAUCUAUAGCUAGAUAGUUAAUCUAGCCCUAGACGAUGGGAAUUUAAAGUCCAUGUGCGAGCAAGAAGUCAGUCCGAUUCCAACCAGCAAGAAAGAAAUCAUCAACUGGAUUGUCAACACAUGAGUAUCAAAAUAAUAUAAACAUUACACAUGAGUAGCAAGGAAAUGUAGUUGAAAAUAGCAACGAAUUUCAAUCCCCAAAACUGAAAUUUGUUUUUGUUUUCUAUCAUAAUGCAGUCAAAAGUCUAAUCCAAAACCUCGCAAGACAGUAAGCUUUAUACCGAUCCAUAUGGUCAUGGUAGCUUUCCAUAUACACAAUCAAGUACUUAUAACGUAUGGUGGACACGAAGGAAAUGCUAACCAGAAUCAGCUCGAUUAUAACUGGGUCACUGAACGGGCAUCAAUUGAACACUACCAAAAACUGUCAACAUUCAUCUGAGCCCCAGACAGGUAGCUGAAUUACACGGCAGAUAACCCUGAAUCGCACGCAAUACUCGAAAAGGCGAGCAUAGGAAUCGCCCAAUCCCAAAACUACAUCUCCAUCGCAGGGGAGCGCUAUCCCGAAAAUCACCACGCAACACAAUUUGAAGCCUCCCAGCUCGUAGAAACCAAACUAAUCAGAUCGAACCGAGGUGGGGCGAGAGGGACGAGAGUCGGGUGAGAGGGGACGAGGAGGUUCGGGCGAGAGUGAAGCAGAAGAGCGCGGCGUGCGCCGCGGCCGCCUGGGCCGUCUUCCCCACCCCUACCCACGUGUGGCCCCGCCGCCGCUGCAUCCCUCCUGCUCCCUAGGCACCCAACGGGAAAGUCAAAUCUUCCCUUCUCCACCGACUCUGCUUCCUUGGACUCAAUGCUCGGCGAUGGUCCCGGAAACUCAGAGAAAUGGGGGAUGAAAAGGAACACGGGUACCAGGGUUUCUCUCUCUAGUCUAGCGAUGGAGCCGUGGAGAGAGUGGACGGCUGCCGAAGAGGAUGGAUCGGGUCGGUCGCAAUGCGUUCCACCGAGCCGAGAGUCUGAGACACCAAGAGUGAAGGAAACUGAAGAAGGCAGUAUGGUGGACACGAAGGAAACCGAAGUGCAUCAGCAAAUCGGCAUACUCACAUAGCUAUGGGAACAAUUGAGCAAAGAUAUAACUACUCUAGGUGUUUGAACAAUGUUAUGCUUUAUACUGAUGCAACAAUGGAAAUAUUUAUUCAUCAACCUAUUGUGUGUUGUUGCAGCGCACUUGGAUAGAUUGCACAUACAAAGCAAAAAAUGCAAAUAUAGAAGAUGGAUCCUACCAAAGACCUUGGCAAAAACAAGGUGCACAUGUUACUAAAUAAACAUUUCAGCAAGCAACAUAAAUGGUUUAUCAAUACAUGUAACAUAUGAGUUGAUGAAUAAAUAAUAAUGUUAGAUUUUCAGUUCCAUAAAAAUAUCUUAAGUGUCACUAUAUCAUCUCAUAAUGCAUAUAGACAGAUAUUUUUCACCGAGUUCGUGUGUCAAGUGUUAAAUCUAUAGGCCAAUCUACCAGAUAUAAUUAUGUUACAUUUAUAACCAUAUGUAAUAGAUUGGAAUAAAAAAUAAUCUAGUGUUAGUUAGUACACAUAAAUCAGAGCAAUGUUACAUCGAGAAAACACAAUUUAUAAGAACAAGGGUAGUACGACAGGAGUUGAUGGCAUGGUCUUUAGGAUUCAUGCCUCUGAUGGGGCUAUUGUUGCGAAAUUUAAAUCUUCUUCAAAGGCAAUAACUUAAAUGCUCAAUCACAUGAUCUUUAAAAUCUGUUAAAUUCUAUGUUGUUAGUUUGAUAAAUCAGAGUACUAGAACGUAGUAGAUCUACCAAAAGUUAACAUGUGGCUAACAGAAAGCUUUCUAUGGUCCAAACGUUUCUUUUUAGUAUGAACUAAUGUACUGAAAUUGUCAAAUGUAGACUUUACUUAUAGGUCACAAGACAUAGGAAUGUAUAAAUAACUGUAAUACAGAGGCAUGGUAAAAUUCAACAAGGAAAAUUGGGAGAAUGACAUGAGCAUCCACUCACAACUCAUUGAAAGAUGGCUGGCUAUACAAAGAUAGGUUGCUCAACAAAUCAACGUGAAAUAGUAUACAGACAAGGCACUUGUAGGCAUGAAACAAAUGAGAACAUGGAAAGACCAUGGAAAUGCAUUUUGUAAAGGCAUUCCAAGGCACCUAUCUCCGCCAAAAAGAGCAGGCAGGAGCACAAUCAAGUGAAAUGGAUACCUGAGUCGAUGCACCUGGACAUACAAGAGAAGAGAAACUUAAAACACAUCAUUGUUGUUGACCAAAUCCUUACUGGACACCAUCGAGAACCUGCAGGGUCAUAGAAGCAGAAAUGAGAGCGCACAUAAUGAACACAAAGAGAAAUAAGAGGAUGAUAAAUUACCAAAAUAAGCAACAACAUACCAAAAUGCAGGUGCAAUUUAUACUCGAACGCAUAAUCCAUAAGCACAACUUAUAUAGGCACAUAAUUUGGUUUGACAGUAACAACCUAUGAAAAAAGUAUAAGAUAAAUAGAUUCUGUUAUUCUCAAGCAAGAAUAGCACAUGCAUUUUUAGUGUAAGAAUUUCAUAGAUAAAAUGAGCAUAAACAUUAAAGCUUGUUCCUAAUUCUUAUGCUGGUUACACAUGUGCAUAACAAAAUCAUGUGGGUAUGUCCACUAUGUGAGUAUGCUUGUGGAUCUGAACUUGUAAAAAACAAACGAGUAAAGCAUAUAGAUGGGCCUGGGGAUCCAUGUCCAGGAAGAGGGGGAGGAGGUGGUGGAGCAGAACCUCCCUCCGGCGGGACAGGAAGCAGUGGUCACGCUUGGCGGGGUGAUGGUGGUGGGGAGGGGAGGAAGGGGAAGGUAUGAGCUUGUUGCUGAAAAUGGGGGGCGACCUCUUGCCGCUCCCAGAUCCUAUCGCGCGCGGGGAGGGGUGUUGAGGGUGCGGCAGAGGUCACGGCGGGGGCUUGUCCAAGAUGGACAAGUACAUCGCGUACCCGGUUGGAGCGUCGCGGCAGGUUGGGCCAAGAGCAUGAAUGGCGUCUCGAACUUGACGACGACCACCGGUAGUGCGGUGGACACGGGCGCGGGGCUGAUGCUGCCAACUGGAUCUGUGGCGGCUGCGAUCCGGACACCAUGACGGCUAAUGGGGGAUGCGACGCCAUAUUGGGAAGUCUAGGGGUUAGGGUUUUGGGAGGAGCAGAGGGGUGGUGGCUUCUCGACAAGUAGGGCGAGAUGUGGGCAUCUUGGUCACCGAGCACCGCUUGGGCGGCGCCCUAGCGGUGGUCAUCACGGACGAGCUCGCCGGUGGCGGAUGGACGGGCGUGGCAGAGGUGGUUUGUGCGGGCAAACGGACGGGGGCGGUUGGCGGCCGGGAGGGCGAGGAUCAAGUGUGGGGUCGGGAGGAUCGAGCGUGGGGUUGCGAUGGACGAUGGUGGAUGAUGUGGGCAAUAAGAUGGACGGUGCGGAUUAAGGGGAGGCAGAACGACAGAACGACAGAACCAGAUGAGGCAGACUACUAUUGCAGCCUUAAUAAGUAGUAUAGAUAUAUGAACAAUGAGCUUGAUUUGCCUCACUAACUUUAUUUUACGAGUCUAGUGAGCAUCACCUUUUUCAUUGGAACUGGGCAUGUGUCAUUUGUUUUGGCUUGUCGUACCUUGGGUUGGACGAAAUGUUGUGACUCAUCGCGGCUCGCUCGGUUCGUGGUUAGCUCGUCUCUGGUCAGCUCAUUAAUUUUUUUUCACGAGAUAAGCUAACAUCUUAGCUCGGUUCGUUAACGAGUCAGCACGUGAGCUAAACGAGCUACCACAUUUCAAUAAAACAAAAUUAUAUGCAUAUCAUUUACGUGUUAUAUGUAUGCGUGGAGUCUAUAAUGUAUGAGUUAUACUAAUGAUUUUGAUGAAUUAUAGGCAUGUUUGGUUCACUGCCUAACUUGACACACUUUGCCUAACUUGACACACUUUGCCUAACUUUUAUGCCUAAGUUUAGUUCUUCAAUUCGAACGACUAACCUUAGGCAAAGUAUGGCACAGUUAGCCACGAACCAAACAGGCCCUAUUGCUAUAUGUUAAAUUGGUCUAUGCAAAUAUAACUGUGAGUUAAACUGAUGAACAUGUGUGUGAAUUGUGAAUUGAUAAGUGAUGAGUUGUGUUAAUUUGGUGUACAUUGAUGUGGUCCGCGAAACUUGAGUAUAAUUACUAUUUUAUAUUGUUCAAUUAGUUUGAAAUUAAGGCUAUCUCCAAUAGAUCCCUAUCUCAUCCCCUAUUUCAUCCUCUAUUUCAAACUUUUCUUUCCAAAUAGUGUCAAACAAUGUCAUCUACAAUUUUGUGUCCCCUAUUCUACGCACUCUAUUGGAGAUAGUCUAACUAGAAAUUGAUUAUUAUAUACAUAUUGUUUUUUUCUGCUCUGACUCGCGAGUUAAACGAGCCAGCUCGAGCUUGUAAACGAGCCGAGAUGAGCCAACUCAUUAGCUUAACGAGCCACCUCAAACUCGGACGAGCCGAGCUGGCUCGAUAUCUAGCCCUAUCGUACCUCCUGUUUCGAAAUGAUGGCCAUGGAUGAUUUUGCAAAGCUGCCAAGUGUUACGUUAGGUGGCGUUUGGUUCCACAGCAUACUGAGAAUCCAGAUGAGUAACCAAACAGAGCAUGUUUUUUUGUCUUGGUUAUCCCACAACAUGAGAGAAUCCUAUUAUCUGCACAUCCAACUAUAUAGUCUCAGAUUGAACUUUGUUAAGGGCAAGCCUCCUAUGGUGCAAGAUAGAGAACGUUACAUUUUAUAUCCUGAAAACUAUCCUAAGCAUAAUAUUAGAAGAAUUCAUGCUAAGAAAUCUCAUCAUGUUGCUCAGCAUGCUUACAUUUACAGAAAUGAGGCUUCUAGUUCUAGGCAUACAACUCAUAUUAAGAUGCAUAAGAAAAAGAUUGUUGAUGCAUCAAAUGAACAAAGCAUUUCAUUUAAAGCCUUUGAUGCAUCCUUUGUUAUUACUAACAAAUCCAGCAAAUUAGUUGCCAAAUAUGUUGGGGGCAAGCAUAAGAAUCCAAAGACUUAUGUUUGGGUACCCAAGGUGCUUGUUUCUAAUGUGAAAGGACCCAAGACCAUUUGGGUACCUAAGGACAAGGCCUAAAUUUGUGUUGUAGGUUUAUGCAUCCGGUGGAACAAGUUGGAUAAUUGACAACGGGUGCACAAACCACAUGACAGGGGAGAAAAUAAUGUUCUCCUCAUAUGAGAAAAAUGAUGAUCCCUAAAGAGCAAUCAUAUUCGGGGAUGGAAAUCAAGGUUUGGUCAAAGGAUUGGGUAAAAUUGCUAUAUCUCCUGACCAUUCCAUUUCUAAUGUAUUUCUUGUAGAAUCUCUAGGUUACAACUUGCUCUUUGUGUCUCAAUUAUGCAAAAUGGGCUACAACUGUUUGUUUACUGAUGUUGAUGUUACCGUCUUUAGAAGAAAUGAUGAUUCACUAGCUUUUAAGGGACUGUUAGAUGGUCAGCUAUAUUUAGUCGAUUUCACUGAUAAUAAUGCUGAACUAAACACUUGCCUAACUGCUAAGACUAAUAUGGGUUGGCUCUGGUAUCGCCGACUUGCUCAUGUUGGGAUGAAGAAUCUUCACAAGCUUCUAAAGGGGAACACAUUUUAGUAUUAACCAAUGUUCAUUUUGAGAAAGACAGAAUUUGCAGUGCAUGUCAAGUAGGGAAGCAUGUUGGAACUCAUCAUCCACACAAGAACAUCAUGACGACCGAGAGGCCGCUUGAGCUACUCCACAUGGAUCUUUUUGGCCCGAUUGCUUACAUAAGCAUCGACAGGAGUAAGUAUUGUCUUGUAAUUGUAGAUGACUAUUCUCGCUUCACUUGGGUGUUCUUUUUGCAGGAAAAAUGACAAAUCCAAGGGACCUUAAAGAAAUUCUUGAGACGAGCUCAAAAUGAGUUCGGAUUGAGAAUCAAGAAGAUUAGAAGCGACAAUGGAACAGAGUUCAAGAACUCUCAAAUUGAAGGAUUUCUUGAGGAGGAGGGCAUCAAGCAUGAGUUCUCUUCUCCCUACACAUCUCAACAAAAUGGUGUUGUGGAAAGAAAGAAAGAAAGAAAGAAUAGAACUUUUAUGGAUAUGGCAAGAACCAUGCUUGAGGAAUACAAGACAUCGGAUUGGUUUUGGGCGGAGGCGAUUAACACCGCUUGCUACUCCAUCAACCGACUCUACCUUCACUGAAUCCUCAAGAAAACAUCAUAUGGACUCCUCACCGGUAAAAAGCCCAAUGUUUCUUAUUUUAGAGUUUUUGGGAGCAAGUGCUUUAUUCUUGUUAAGAGAGGUAGAAAUUCAAAAUUUGCUCCUAAAGUAGUAGAAGGCUUUUUACUUGGUUAUGACUCAAACACAAGGGUAUAUAGAGUCUACAACAAGUCCACUGGAUUAGUUGAAGUUUCUUGUGACAUUGUGUUUGAUGAGACUAAUGGCUCCCAAGUAGAGCAAGUUGAUCUUGAUGAGUUAGAUGAUGAAGAGGCUUUGUGCAUCGUGCUAAGGAACAUGUCCAUUGGAGAUGUGUGUCCACAAGAACUCGAAGAGCCCUCAUAAGCACAAGAUCAACCAUCAUCUUCCAUAGAAGCAUCUCCACCAACUCAAGAUGAUGAACUAGCUCAAGAAGAAGAUCAAGUUCAAGACAAUGAGCCACCUCAAGAAGAAGGCAUCGAUCAAGGGGGAGAUGAAGUUGAUCAAGAAAAGUAGGAUGAACAAGAGAUACAAGAUCAAAGACAGCCUCACCCAAGAGUCUACCAAGCAAUUCAAUGAGAUCACCCCGUCGACUCCAUACUCGGUGACAUUCAAAAGGGGGUAACCACGCGAUCUCGAGUUGCUCAUUUUUGUGAACAUUACUCUUUUGUGUCUUCUAUUGAGCCAUACAGGAUAGAGGAUGCCCUUAGAGAUCUAUACUGGGUGGUGGCAAUGCAAGAGGAGCUCAACUUCACGAGAAAUGAGGAUGACAUUUAGUUCCACGUCCUAACCAAAAUGGUGUAGGUACCUAGUGGAUAUUUCGCAACAAACAAGAUGAGCAUGGUGUGGUGACUAGGUACAAAGACUGACUUGUUGCAAAGGGGUAUUCACAAGUUGAAGGUUUGGAUUUCGAUGAAACCUAUGCACCCGUAGCUAGGGUUGAGUCAAUUCGAAUACUACUUGCAUAUGCUACUUACCAUGGCUUUAAGUUGUAUCAAAUGGAUGUGAAAAGUGCCUUCCUCAAUGGUCCUAUCAUGGAAGAGGUGUAUGUUGAGCAACCUCCCGACUUUGAAGAUAGUGAGUAUCAUUCACAUGUCUAUAAGCUCUCAAAGGCGCUUUAUGGGCUCAAACAAGCCCCAAGAGCAUGGUAUGAAUGCCUGAGAGACUUUCUUAUCAAUAAUGGUUUUAAAGUCGGAAAAGCUGACCCUACUCUCUUCACUAAAACAAUUGACAAAGACCUAUUUAUAUGUCAAAUUUAUGUUGUUGAUAUUAUCUUUGGGUCUACUAACAAGUCAUCCUGUGAAGAGUUUAGUAGAAUUAUGAUAUAGAAAUUUGAGAUGUCCAUGAUGGGGGAGUUGAAGUAUUUCCUUGGAUUCCAAAUCAAGCAACUCCAAGAGGGCACCUUCGUUUGCCAAAAAAGUACAUUCAAGAUAUUUUCAAGAAGUUUGGAAUGAAGAAUGCCAAACCCAUCAAGACUCCUAUGGGAACAAAUGGGCAUCUCGACCUCGACACUAGAGGUAUGUCUAUAGAUCAAAAGGUAUACCGGUCGAUGAUACGAUCUUUACUCUACUUAUGUGCUUCAUGACCGGAUAUUAUGCUUUUAGUAUGCAUGUGUGCAAGAUUCCAUGCAGACCCUAAGGAAAUCCACCUAAGGGUCGUGAAAAGAAUCAUGAGAUAUUUUGUUUACACUCCUAAGUUUGGGCUAUAGUACCCCAAGGGAUCUACCUUUGAUCUAAUUGGGUAUUCUGAUGCUGAUUAUGCCGGAUGUAAGAUUGAUAGAAAGAGUACAUCGGGGACUUGUCAGUUUAUGAGGAGAUUCUUGGUGUCUUGGGCUUCAAAGAAACAAAACUCAGUAGCUCUAUCCACCGCAGAAGUUGAGUAUAUUGCUGCAGGACAUUGUUGUGCACAAUUACUCUGGAUGAGGCAAACUCUUAGGGACUAUGACUACAAACUAAGCAAAGUCCCUCUCCUAUGUGACAAUGAGAGUGUAAUCUGCAUGGCAGACAAUCCUGUUGAACACAGCGGCACAAAGCACAUAGACAUCUGGUAUUACUUCCUGAGAGAUCACCAACAACGGGGAGAUAUCGAAAUUGCUUAUGUUAGCACCCACAACCAGUUAGUCGAUAUCUUCACCAAGCCUUUAGAUGAAAAGACUUUUAGCAAGCUUAGGAAUGAACUAAAUGUCUUAGAUUCUCGGAACUUUGAUUGAAAUCUUGCACGCAUUGCUCAUUUUAUACCUUUGAUCGUGCCAUAUCUCUUUCAUUUGGUACAAAUGCAUAUUUCUUAUUCUUCUUGUGUCGAAGCUAAGACUAAUGUGCUUUCAAGAAUAUUUCUAUACUUAGUCUUAGAUUGAAAGGGAAAUGGAGGUGUAGGCUACGACAAGGCUUCCACUACAACUUUGUUAGUAUCAUAUACCAUUUGCCCUACUCAUGUAUUUACAUUCAUGUCUUUCUUGUUACAAGGCCUCUAUAUUUCUUUGCUUUUGGUGUUUUAUGCCAAUGGGUGAGAAAUUAAUAGGCCAAAGCAAAAGGACCGCACCACCACCCUGUUUUCUGAAAACUUUUUCUAAAUUAGAACUAUUGCAUUUGCAAAACCCCUCUUGACAACUAAGGGGAGAACUUUUUCAGGGGAGCUUUUAUUUAGCCAAAGAAAAGGCAUUUGAAAAGGGGGAGAAUCUUUCAAAACUUGAACAUGCCUUUAGAAAUUAUAUUCUUAUACCAUUGGCAAAUUGCAAAAGAAUCUGAAAAGACUUUUCCAAAAGAUUUGCAAAAACAAGCUAAGUGGUGCAAAUGUGGUCCAAAAUUUUAAUAUAUCAAAAAGGUCAUAUAUACUUAGAACUAUUUUCAUUUCAAAAAUAACUUAUGUACAUAUCUAAAAAUGCAAACUAGCUACAUUUCAAUACUUUGUAUUUGCUUUGGUUUGUGUUGGCAUCAAUCACCAAAAAGGGAGAGAUUGAAAGGGAAAUGGCCUCAACCAUUUCAUAUAAUCGAUUUUGGUGUUUGACGCCCAUCACAAAUCUCAUGGACUAACUAGUUUGCCUAGUUGAUCAUUUCCCGGGUGCAUAAGGUUCAUGUACAUCAAUUAUAAGUCGACUGUCCGGAAUACCAUAGAUUAUUCCAUACAUGAGAAGCUUUUUGGAAAUUCUCAUGUGCGCGGACUGUCCGAGCCCUUACGGCGGACCGUCCACGACACUAGGAUGAACCUCGGACAGGAACACUGCAAUAACAACGUUUACACUGCGGACUGUCCGAAGGAGAAGCGAGCACCGUUCGAGACCAAGCGUGGACCUUCCGGCCGUUGAAAAACCAGAAAAACCCGAAGGUGACAGGUUCGGUAAAAUGCAUUUUUAGCAUCCUCGCGGACCGUUUGGGGUGCACGGCCGGACCGUCCGUGACUGCUUUAUCUGACAUCUGACGAUGCAUUAAAUGCACUAUAGCCGUUUAUAUAUUCGUUACUGCUGACCAUUGCGAUUCGAGGCAUUGAUAUGCAGGGGCGGACCAUCCGGUCCAGGGACGCAGACCGUUCGCGGUCAACAAAAAAGGAGCAACAGAUAGGAAGUGGUUGGUGGCUAUAAAUACAACCCCAACCACCUCCAUUUAACACACCCAAGCAUUCUACACAUACACAUUCAAUACAAGAGCAAGGAAUUCAUUCCAAGACACAUUCAAAGCUUCCAAUCCUCUACAAGUGCCACAAUUGAGACAAGUGAUCAUUAGUGAUUAGUGACUUGAGAGGGUGAUUCGUGUUUCAUUUGUUGCUCUUGUUGCUUGGCUUUUAAUCAUGCUUUCUUCAUCUCCUUCUAAACUCUCUAGUGACUUGUAAAGCUAGCAAGAGACACAUAAGUGUGUGGUGGUCCUUGCAGGGUCUUAGUGAUCCUUGAGUUUAAGAAGAAGCACUCAACCGGUCUAAGUGAUCGAUUCAGAGAGGGAAAGGGUUGAAAAAGAUCUAGCCUUCGUGGCCUCCUUAACAGGGAGUAGGUUCGUUGGAACUGAACCUCGGGAAACAAAUCAUUGUGUCCGUUUAUUUUGAUCUUCACCUUACGAUUUGAUUCUUCCUCUCCCCUCUCUCUAAGUUCUCUUGAUCACAAUCUUUUGAGUUAGCUCCCAAAGUUAUCUACAUUGAUUGAGCAACUCAUAGCAAGAAGAACUCUCUUUCGCACUCUGUAUUCAUUAUUAUUUGUUUAUAAUCCUAACCCCGGGUGAAGUUCGUGUUCAAAGUUUAUAAUUUACAGGUUUCGCCUAUUCACCCCCCUCUGGGCGACUUUCAGGUAUGACAAGUGAUAAGCAUGCUACUCAUGAGGUACGUGACAUAUUCCAUGGUAGAAUAAGUGCCCCUUUGGCAUGGCUCUUUGAGUGACUCUAGCCCCGGCUAAUCAUGAAGCCCUGCUAAAUGGUUACAAAAAUGGGUUCUCAUCGAGAUCUCUCCAAGAGCUAGAGUUGUUUUUUUAUUGGGAGCCGGAGCACCGAUAACCUGGCUUCUACUGGCUCCUAAGGAGAAUCUAUUUUGCCAAAUGAAUUGCAAAAUGGCUCUAGCCCCUCUAGAGAAGCCAAAAAGCUGGAGCUAGAGCUGGAGUUGUUUUCAGAGGAGCCGGAGCCAUGCCAAAGGUGCCUAAAACUUUCUUGAUAAGAGGGUGCACCUGACCUUCAUGAGGUAGGAUCUAAGUUACUCGCAAGACCUAACAAAUCUGGGAAAUAUCAGAAAAUUGCCACAAUGACCCAGGGUUGUACAACAGGAAAUAGCAAAAUUGCCCCAAAUGUGAUAUUGAUUGUCGAAGCGUACACGGUGGGCACCAAAUGUUGGGUCAUGACAUGUGGGCCCAAGCACUCAGGAAUAGGUGGGACAACAAUGCACGACAAAACAAAUGGUUGGGGAGCUCAAAUGUCUUUCAAGUAUGUCCCAUCCGAGGGUUAGAUGGGGAGUAUUUAUAGGUAACCAGAGGAUAGAGGGCCUAUGUACGUUUGUACCUCUAAUUACCUACUACAUUCUUGGAAUAUAUUGUACAAUAGGGUAAUUACUGAACAGUUCCAACCCCGGCCUAAUUACACCAGACAACGUACCCAUAGUGGAGACUAACAGUGGAUCUGCCUCACACGCCGAGGGAGGCCCACCAAGCCUCUGCUUCCCGUGCAUAGAUUUGGGCCAUAAGUCUAGAGGGGGCCUUUGUCUUGAGGCCUUUGUCCCAAGUUCUUCACGGUCUUCCCCUCGAUUCGCCUCAUCCUUCCAUGAGGUAGAAUUAGGACUCUUCAUAAAGUAUGAGGUCUUCGCUUCGAUGAAUGUGGUCUCUCUCAAGAGGCUUUCGGUGUUGGUCCCCAAGGGCCUUCGCUGUCGGUGUUUGGGACCCAACCGUGCACCCGAGGUUACCCCUCGAGGUGCUUUUGGGUAGGACGGCGUUGCUGACUGUAGCUUGAUGGUUCGUGCUAGGCGCACGAGAGACGAUAGACAAUUUUCUACAGGUUCGGGCCGCUUGGAGAGGCAUAAUACCCGACUUCCUGGUGUGGAUCUUUAUGUGGUGGGUUACAGGGAGAUUCUCUAGUAUGAAGGAUGCUAGAGAAUGGAGUUGAUGGCUGAUGAAUGACCUGUCUUUUGAUAGGGUGCCCCCUGGGCCUUAUAUAUCCGACCGUGGGGCAUUUACAUAUGUCUACGAUAACGUUGCAUGCCUAAGUAAUAGUGAACCAACCGAACUUAUCUUCCUACAAUCUUGCCAACUUAUUCUCACUUAGUUCUGUUGUCCAAGGUGGUCGCACGGGAGAAUCGGAUAAGAGCUGCGGAUAACGCUCAAAACCUCGCGAACCGCCUUGGCCUGCGCUUGUCCAUUCCUUGCGUCGGCCCAUUUCCGCCAGCAGUUCCCCCCUAGCCCAUGAAGGGAUGGCCUUACAAGACAGUAAGCCCAAAACCUGUUUGCGAGGCCUUCUAACCUUCUAGUGGACCCAGGGGAUAUCUAUCACCCACAAGCCCCCAAUCUUUGAGUUGAUUUUGAAAUAAUCAGCCCAAAGAUUAUAGGUCCAGCUUGCGGUUUUGAUUUCCAUUUUUGGUGAUGAACGCUUGGGAAGCGCAUCUGUUGAGUGUUGCUUCUGAACUCUGAGUGACUUUAGUAAAAAAACAAUCUUCGGUUGUCCUCCUUUGGUACACUCGACGAUUUUCGCCUUAUGCUUUAGGAAUCGGCACUCUGUCAUCGACUUACGCUUUAGAGAUCAGUGCUCUGUCCUUUGGGGUUAAAGAUUCAUUGGGUGCACCCGAGCUUUGAGUGGAUUAUUGAAAAUCAUCUCAUGCUUUAGAAAUCAUUAUUUUAUCUUCGCCUUGUGCUUUAGAAACCAGCAUUUUACCAUCGGUUCAUGUUUUGGAGAUCAGCAUUCUGUCCUUUGGGGUUAAAGAUUCAUUGGGUGCACUGAGGUGUAGCCCCCGAGCUUUGAGUGGAUUAUUGAAAAUAAUCCACUCAAAGGACUUCAUCCCAUGCUUUAGAAAUCCUUAUUUUAUCCUCGUUUCAUGCUUUAGAAACUAGCAUUUUAUCUCCGUCUCAUGCUUUAAAAAUUAGCAUUGUAUCAUCAGCUUAUGCUUUAGAGAUCAGCAUGUUGUCUUCAUCUCAUGCUUUAGAAACUAGCAGCGUGGUCUGCCCAUGUCCUGUUAGGUUUGAAAUUUAUUUGAUCAGCGACAGAUUAGAUGUCUGGUAGAUGGCUCUUGGCCGGUCUUCAUUUCGCCUUGUGCUUCAAUGCUUCUGCUGACUAGACUUGCAGUUCAGUAGCUAUAUUUGGCUUUCAUUUGAUCUCUAUCGAUAUCUUCUUUCUGUCUUAACACAUUCAUUGCAUAUAUUGUAUGGAUGUGACUACUUCAGAAAAUCUAUUGAAAAUUCUUGGUCGUCCCCCACCCAAUGGGUGUUUUCCAAUGGGUGUGACCAAGGGACGUCUUGGUACGCAAAGCGUUUAGCACAUUGUCUUGGAGUAGUAACUUGACCUGACCACUGGGCGUAAUCAUAUUGCCCAAGCAGUUGACCUUAGUCCAAAUGGUGUCGUGUUACGCGAAGCGGCGUCUGCUGCCUGACUCGCCUUUAGGCAAUUUGAAUUGCUUAUUGAAUACUUGCGACUGUUCGGUGGGCGUGGUAGGAGACGAACAAUUGCCACCGGCCUAUAUAAAUAGCCUGUUUGCUCCUCUGUUGUUUUCGCACAUCCUCUGAUCGUUCGUUGUUUCUUUCUAAACCUUCUCUUCUUUUCCAUCUAGCCAUGGGCAAGGACAAGAAAGGUCAGGGCGUACCGCGUCGCUCCGGUGACAAACGGAAGCGUGAACCGAGUCCCUCGUCGGAGGACUUUGGUGACUCCGAGUACUCGGAGGAGGAGUUCUCCUCCGAGCCCGAGGGGUCUCCGGUCUACACUUCCCCCCCGGCAUCGUCUGACGACUCGUACGACUCCUAGGGGAUAGCCACCGAGGUGUGGACGUACAUCCGGUCAGUCGAGCGCAGUGGGCUCGAGGGUUCGGAUGAGUCGGAGGUCUCCUCGGACGAGAACUCUUCCGACUCAUCCAAAGAAGGGAGCGGCAGCGACGGCGACGAUGAGGGCGACAGCGGCGAUGGCGAUGACAGUGGCGACGGCGGCGAUGGCGGCAGCAAGGGUGGUGGAGGCGAUGGCAGCGGCAAGGGCGAUGACGACGGCAAGGGCAGCAUCAGCAGCAGCAAGGCCAGUGGCAAAGCGCCAUUGGCUUAAAUAUUAGUAUAGGUAAUUAGUAGUAGCAGUAGUAGUAGUGAAAUAAUGUAGUAGUAGUUAGUAGUAUAGUGUAAUGUAAGUAAUGUAGUAAUGUAAUGUAGUAAUAAAGGAAAGAAAAGGUCGACUCAUAAUGAGUUAGUCUUUAAGUUUGUGAAAACUUCUCUCCUCUAUGCAAUGAAGGACCUUGGCCGAUCUGAAUGAGUGUUGCCUCUUUCUUUAAGUGUUUGAUAGUUUGCUUUUGCAUCUAAUGUUGUUGGCGUUAUAAAAAAUAAUCACCGAGCGAUAGCUGAUGAUACCGGCGUUUUAGAAGUAACAGCCGAGUUAUGCUUGACACUGCCGGUGUUUUAGAGAUAAUGAACGGGUAGUGCUUGAUGUUGUCGGCGCUUUUAGAGGUAACGGCCAAGUUAUGCUUGAUACCGCCAGCGUUUUAGAGAUAACGACCGGGUAGUGCUUGAUGCUGUCGGCGCUUUUAGAGGUAACAACCAAGUUAUGCUUGAUACUGCCGGUGUUUUAGAGAUAACGGUCGGGUAGUGCUUCAUGUUGUCGGCGCUUUUAUAGGUAACAACCGAGUUAUGUUGAAAAUCUCAUUUUCCCGAGUGAUGACUUGGCCCUUUUUAGAAAUGGCGUCCGACCCAGGAAAACCCCAUUUAUGCUCAUGCCAACAUGCGCUUUUGAUUUCUGAGCCCUAACUUCGCAUUUCCGCCUCAAACCUCUUUUUUGCUUCUCUGAAAUUUUGCUCCCCUUUGUCCCGGCGGCGAGAUUGCAAUGGCGCCGAAACGGAAGAACCAGAGUUCCGUUGCGGCAAUCAUUCCUCCCAUCGACCCCAAUAGUCAGUUGUUGUUCGCAGGUAACCACAUGUUUGUUGUUUCGGAAUCAGAUCUUCUUCAUCUUGUUGAUGUUGGGGUUCUUCUUCCAAAAGAGCUCUGCUCUUGGCGGAUUUGCCGCGGGGUCACUAUUCCGACAGAAGACACCCACGAGUCUGUCAUCUAUAUUUCUUUUCUUAUCCGUGGCCUUGCUCUUCCUGUUUUUCCCUUCUUCCGCGGCCUCCUUGAUUUCUAUGAUCUGAACUUGACCCAUCUGAACCCUAAUUCUAUUCUGCAAAUUUCUAUCUUCGUGCAUCUGUGUGUGGCCUACCUCGGAAUUCUUCCCCAUUUUGGCCUCUAGAAGUAUUUGUAUCAUUGUCGGCCUGGGAUGGCUGGGGGGCAGCACCAGCUCGUUGGUGGUGCAAGUUUGGAGAUGCGUCGCGGCAGGAAGACAGAAUACCUUGACAUUCCUCUCAAGGAUAGCAUUAAAGGAUGGCGCCUUGAGUGGUUUAUUGUGGAAAACCACUGCGAGUCCCUCCCCCCUCGGUCGGGGAGGCAACCAGAUGUACGUACUCUGAGCUGGGUUGAGUCUCCAACUCCUUUGGAGGUAACGAAGGCCAGAGUUCUGCUUGCUGAGAUCUGUCUGCUGAAGGAGAAAGGUCUGACUGCCGAAGCCGUGGUUGCAAAUUUCGUCUUCAAGAAUAUCCAGCCUUUGAAGGGCAGGGCAUACCCUUUAUAUCUGUACAGCGGCAUCAAUGAUGGCACCCGGGUGACAAACAAGAGAAUUGAGAACACCUAGAGGGGGGGGGGGUGAAUAGGUGAUCCUGUGAAACUUAAACUUAUAGCCACAAAAAAACUUGUUAAGUGUUAGCACAAUAAUCGCCAAGUGGCUAGAGAGGAGUCUCAACAAAACACAAUACCACAAGAGAUCAAACACAGAGAUGACACAGUGGUUUAUCCCGUGGUUCGGCCAAGACCAACGCUUGCCUACUCCAUGUUGUGGCGUCCCAACGGACGAGGGUUGCAAUCAACCCCUCUCAAGCGGUCCAAAGACCAACUUGAAUACCACGGUGUUUUGCUUUGCCUUUCAAUAUCCCGUUUGCGAGGAAUCUCCACAACUUGGAGUCUCUCGCCCUUACACUUGAAAUUCACAAAGAAGUAUGGAGUAAGGGAGGGAAGCAACACACACAAAUCCACAGCAAAAUGCGCACACACACGGCCAAGAAUCGAGCUCAAAAGACUAUCUCAAAGUUCUCACUAGAACGGAGCUCGAAUCACUGAGAAUGACAAACGAAUGCGCAGAGACUGAGUGUGGAUGAUCAAGAAUGUUCUAAGGUUGCUUGGUGUACUCCUCCAUGCGCCUAGGGGUCCCUUUUAUAGCCCCAAGGCAGCUAGGAGCCGUUGAGAGCAAAUCUGGAAGGCCAAUCUUGCCUUCUGUCGUCGGGUGCACCGGACAGUCCGGUGCCCGAUUUCUUUCCUUAAACGGCACAGCCGACCGUUGCCGACCGUUGGAGAUCUGGGAGCCGAUGGCGCACCGGACAUGUCCGGUGCACACCGGACAGUCCGGUGCCCCCUUCCGACCGUUGGCUAGGCCACGUGUCGUGCGCAGAUUCCGCGGCCGACCGUUGGCUUGGCCGACCAUUGGCUCACCGGACAGUCCGGUGCACACCGGACAGUCCGGUGAAUUUUAGCCGUACGCCGUCGGCAAAUUCCCGAGAGCGGCCUCUUCGCCCGAGGCAGCCUGGCGCACCGGACACUGUCCGGUGCACCACCGGACAGUCCGGUGCCCCAGAACGAGACAGCCUUUUGGCUGUACACAGCCAACUCUUCUCUUCUUUCUUCUUUCUGUUUCUAUCACUUAGACAAGUGUAUUAGUAUACAAAACCAAUGUACUAAGGCUUAGAAACAUACCUUUACUCAUGAUUUGCACUUUGUUCAUCCAUGGUCAUAAAUUCACAUUUAAGCACUUGUGUUGGCACUCAAUCACCAAAAUACUUAGAAAUGGCCCAAGGGCACAUUUCCCUUUCAAUCUCCCCCUUUUUGGUGAUUUAUGCCAACACUACAUAAAGCAACUAGAACAAGUGCAAAAUCACUUCAAAUAAAAUAAAUUUGAGUUUUAUUCAAUUUUGGCAUAUAUGGAUCAUCCUUUGCCACCACUUGGUUUGUUUUUGCAAAUCAAACUCAAAUCUCUAUCUCUAAUUCAAACACAUAUGUUGAAGCAUAAAGAGAGUCAUUCCAAAAGAGAUUGAUCAAAGAUUUCAAAAACUCCCCCUUUUUCCCAUAAUCAACAUUUCUCCCCACAAGAAGCCAACUUUUGAUAAGAGAGACAAUACAAGAGUUUUGACAAACCAAAAGCUCUAUCCCCCUUUUUCCUAUAAUCAACAUUUCUCCCCACAAGAAGCCAACUUUUGAUAAGAGAGACAAUACAAGAGUUUUGACAAACCAAAAGCUCUAUUCUACUAUUUCUAAAAUUUCUCAAGUGAUAGUUGAUCCAUUUAUUGCUUUGGCCUUUAUUUUCUCCCCCUUUGGCAUCAAGCACCAAAACGGGAUCAAUCUUGGCCCUUUAACCCCAUUGCCUCACCAAAAUCUUCAAUUAAGAUCAAAUGGCAAUAAGAGUUCAUGAGAUGAACUUGGAAUAAGUUACCCUCUCAUCGGAGUGCAGUGGAAGUCUUUCAUGGUCCAAGUCCACCUUUUCCCUUUCAAUUCUCCUUCGAGACUAAAUCAAACAUAACUCAAGCAUAUGGUUAGUCUCAAAGGGUCAAGUUGUGACACAACUCCCCCUAAACAUGUGCAUCACUUUGCAACGGACUUGUGAGGUCCAGGGAGUGUUUGUACAACUUGAGCACCAAAAUAAGCAACAAAAUGCAGAAUGAACAUGAUCAGAGGCAUAAACACAUGUAUGCUACAAUUCAAUCCAAGUUCCGCGAAUCUAAGACAUUUAGCUCACUACGCAGCCUGCAAAAGGUCUUCUCAUCUAGAGGCUUGGUAAAGAUAUCGGCUAGCUGGUUCUCGGUGCUAACAUGAAACACUUCGAUAUCUCCCUUUUGCUGGUGGUCUCUCAAAAAGUGAUGCCGGAUGUCAAUGUGCUUUGUGCGGCUGUGCUCAACAGGAUUUUCCGCCAUGCGGAUAGCACUCUCAUUAUCACAUAGGAGCGGGACUUUGCUCAGAUUGUAGCCAAAGUCCCGGAGGGUUUGCCUCAUCCAAAGUAGUUGCGCGCAACACUGUCCUGCGGCAACAUACUCGGCCUCAGCGGUGGAUAGGGCAACGGAGGUUUGUUUCUUAGAGUUCCAAGACACCAGAGACCUUCCUAAGAAUUGGCACGUCCCCGAUGUACUCUUCCUAUCGACCUUACAUCCAGCAUAGUCGGAGUCUGAAUAUCCAAUCAAGUCAAAGGUAGACCCCUUUGGAUACCAGAGCCCGAAGCAAGGCGUAGCAACUAAAUAUCUAAGGAUUCGCUUCACUGCCACUAAGUGACACUCCUUAGGAUCGGAUUGAAAUCUAGCACACAUGCAUACGCUAAGCAUAAUAUCCGAUCUACUAGCACAUAAGUAAAGUAAUGACCCUAUCAUUGACCGGUAUGCUUUUUGAUCAACGGACUUACCUCCUUUGUUGAGGUCGGUGUGUCCGUCGGUUCCCAUCGGAGUCUUUGCGGGCUUGGCGUCCUUCAUCCCAAACCGCUUUAGCAGAUCUUGCGUGUACUUCGUUUGGGAGAUGAAGGUGCCGUCCUUGAGUUGCUUCACUUGGAACCCAAGGAAGUAGUUCAACUCGCCCAUCAUCGACAUCUCGAAUUUCUGCGUCAUCACCCUGCUAAACUCUUCACAAGACUUUUGGUUAGUAGAGCCAAAUAUUAUGUCAUCGACAUAAAUUUGGCACACAAACAGAUCACCAUCACAUGUCUUUGUAAAAAGAGUUGGAUCGGCUUUCCCAACCUUGAAAGCAUUAACAAUUAGAAAGUCUCUAAGGCAUUCAUACCAUGCUCUUGGGGCUUGCUUAAGUCCAUAGAGCGCCUUAGAGAGCUUACACACUUGGUCGGGGUACCGUUCAUCCUCGAAGCCAGGGGGUUGCUCCACGUACACCUCCUCCUUGAUUGGCCCGUUGAGGAAAGCGCUCUUCACAUCCAUUUGGUACAACCUGAAAGAGUGAUGAGCGGCAUAUGCUAGCAAGAUACGAAUUGAUUCUAGCCUAGCCACAGGAGCAAAAGUCUCCUCGAAAUCCAAACCUGCGACUUGGGCAUAACCUUUUGCCACAAGUCGAGCCUUGUUUCUCGUCACCACCCCGUGCUCGUCCUGUUUGUUGCGGAACACCCACUUGGUUCCCACAACAUUUUGCUUCGGACGAGGUACCAGCGUCCAAACUUCAUUACGCUUGAAGUUGUUUAGUUCCUCCUGCAUGGCCAACACCCAGUCCGGAUCUAGCAAGGCCUCUUCUACCCUGAAAGGCUCAAUAGAAGAGACAAAGGAGUAAUGUUCACAAAAAUUAACUAAUCGAGACCGAGUAGUUACUCCCUUGCUAAUGUCACCCAGAAUUUGGUCGAUGGGAUGAUCCCUUUGAAUCAUCGCUCGAACUUGGGUUGGAGGUGCCGGUUGCGCUUCUUCCUCCAUCACAUGAUCAUCUUGUGCUCCCCCUUGAUCACACGCCUCCUGUUGAUGAACCUGUUCAUCGUCUUGAGUUGGGGGAAGCACCAUAGUUGAGGAAGAAGGUUGAUCUCGUUCAUCUUGUUCCUGUGGCCGCACUUCUCCAAUCGCCAUGGUUCGUAUAGCGGCCGUUGGAACAUCUUCUUCAUCUACAUCAUCACAAUCAAAAACUUGCUCUCUUGGAGAGCCAUUAGUCUCAUCAAAUACGACGUCGCUAGAGACUUCAACCAAACCUGAUGAUUUGUUGAAGACUCUAUACGCCUUUGUAUUUGAGUCAUAACCUAAUAAAAACCCUUCUACUGCUUUGGGAGCAAACUUAGAAUUUCUACCUUUCUUCACUAGAAUGUAGCACUUGCUCCCAAAUACACGAAAGUAAGAUACAUUGGGUUUGUUACCGAUUAGUAGCUCAUACGACGUCUUCUUGAGGAGGCGAUGAAGGUAGACCCUGUUGAUGGCGUGGCAAGCCGUGUUCACGGCUUCCGUCCAAAAGCACUCGGGGGUCUUGAAUUCUCCUAGCAUCGUCCUCGCCAUGUCGAUGAGCGUCCUGUUCUUCCUCUCUACCACACCAUUUUGCUGUGGUGUGUAGGGAGCGGAGAACUCGUGCUUGAUCCCUUCCUCUUCAAGGAACUCCUCUACUUGAAGGUUCUUGAAUUCGGUCCCGUUGUCGCUCCUUAUCUUCUUCACCUUGAGCUCAAACUCGUUUUGAGCUCUCCUUAGGAAGCGCUUGAGGGUUCCUUGGGUCUCAGACUUAUCCUGCAAAAAGAAUACCCAAGUGAAGCGGGAAAAGUCAUCAACAAUAACUAGACCAUACUUACUUCCUCCUAUGCUCAGAUAGGCGACGGGUCCGAAGAGAUCCAUAUGCAGCAGCUCCAGGGGUCUUGAAGUGGUCAUCACAUUCUUGCUGUGAUGCGCUCCUCCCACUUGUUUACCUGCUUGACAAGCUGCACAAGGUCUAUCUUUUUCGAAUUGAACGUUAGUCAAACCUAUCACAUGUUCUCCCUUUAGAAGCUUGUGAAGGUUCUUCAUCCCCACAUGUGCUAAGCGGCGAUGCCACAGCCAGCCCAUGCUAGUCUUAGCUAUUAAGCAUGCAUCUAGACCGGCCUCUUCUUUUGCAAAAUCAACUAAAUAAAGUUUGCCGUCUAAUACACCCUUAAAAGCUAGUGAGCCAUCACUUCUUCUAAAGACAGACACAUCUACAUUUGUAAAUAGACAGUUAUACCCCAUGUUGCAUAAUUGACUAACAGAUAGCAAAUUAUAUCCAAGAGACUCUACUAAAAACACAUUAGAGAUGGAGUGCUCAUUAGAAAUUGCAAUUUUGCCUAACCCUUUUACCUUGCCUUGAUUCCCAUCACCGAAUAUAAUUGAAUCUUGGGAAUCCUUAUUCUUGACGUAGGAGGUGAACAUCUUCUUCUCCCCCGUCAUAUGGUUUGUGCAUCCGCUAUCGAUAAUCCAGCUUGAACCCCCGGAUGCAUAAACCUGCAAGGCAAAUUUAGGCUUGGGACUUAGGUACCCAACUCUUGUUGGGUCCUAUAAGGUUAGUCACAAUUUCCUUAGGGACCCAAAUGCAAGUUUUAUCACCCUUGCAUUUUGCCCCUAACUUCCUAGCAAUUACCUUUCUAUCCUUUCUACAAAUUGCAAAGGAAGCAUUCAAAGCAUGAUAUAUUGUAGAAGGCUCAUUAACUAUCCUAGGAAUAUUAACAACAUUUCUCCUAGGCAUAUUAUGAACAACAUCCCUUCUAUCAACAUUUCUAUCAUGCACAUAUGAAGAACUAGAAGCAAACAUAGCAUGAGAAAAAUCAUCGUACACAUUAUAACCCCUAUAAGCGUUUCUAGUUUGUCUCCUAUCAUGAUACAAAAAGGCAUGGUUCUUUUUAGCACUAGUAGCCAUAGGGGCCUUCCCUUUCUCCUUAGCGGGAAUGGGAUCCUUAUGGCUUGUUAAGUUCUUGGCUUCCCUCUUGAAGCCAAGUCCAUCCUUAAUUGAGGGGUGUCUACCGAUCGUGUAGGCAUCCCUUGCAAAUUUUAGUUUAUCAAAUUCAUUCUUGCUAGUCUUAAGUUGGGCAUUAAGACUAGCCAAUUCCUCAGUUAAUUUGGAAAUUGAAACUAAAUGAUCACUACAAGCAUCAACAUCGAAAUCUUUACACCUAGUGCAAAUCUCAACAUGUUCUACACAAGAAUUAGAUUUACUAGCUCCUUCUAGUUUAGCAUUUAAGUCAUCAUUAACACUCUUUAAAGUAGCAAUGGUUUCAUGACAAGAAGAUAGUUCACUAGAAAGCAAUUCAUUUCUUUUAACUUCUAAAGCAUAAGAUUUUUGUGCCUCUACAAAUUUGUCAUGCUCUUCAUACAAAAGGUCCUCUUGUUUUUCUAAGAGUCUAUCUUUUUCAUUCAAGGCAUCAAUCAAUUCAUUAAUUUUAUCUACUUUAGUUCUAUCCAAUCCCUUGAACAAACUAGAGUAAUCUAUUUCAUCAUCACUAGACUCAUCAUCACUGGAAGAAUCAUAAGUGACAUUGUUUUGAUUACAUACCUUCUUCUCCCUUGCCAUAAGGCAUGUGUGACGCUCGUUGGGGAAGAGGGAUGACUUGUUGAAGGCAGUGGCGGCGAGUCCUUCAUUGUCGGAGUCGGAGGAGGAGCAAUCCGAAUCCCACUCCUUUCCGAUAUGUGCCUCGCCCUUGGUCUUCUUGUAAUGCUUCUUCUUUUCCCUCUUGCUCCCGUGUUCCUGGUCACUAUCAUUGUCGGGACAGUUAGCAAUAAAAUGACCAAGCUUACCGCAUUUUAAGCAUGAUCGCUUUCCCUUGGUCUUAGUCUUGCUUGACUGUCCCUUGCGACCCUUUAGUGCCGUCUUGAAUCUUUUGAUGAUGAGGGCCAUCUCUUCAUCAUUAAGACCGGCCGCCUCAAUUUGCGCCACCUUGCUGGGUAGCGCCUCCUUGCUCCUUGUUGCCUUGAGAGCAAUGGGUUGAGGCUCAUGGAUUGGGCCAUUCAACGCGUCGUCCACGUACCUCGCCUCCUUGAUCAUCAUUCGCCCGCUUACAAAUUUUCCAAGAAUUUCUUCGGGCGACAUCUUGAUGUACCUAGGAUUUUCACGAAUAUUGUUCACCAAGUGAGGAUCAAGAACGGUAAAUGACCUUAGCAUUAGGCGGACGACGUUGUGAUCCGUCCAUCGCGUGCUUCCGUAGCUCCUUAUUUUGUUGAUAAGGAUCUUGAGCCGGUUGUAAGUUUGUGUCGGCUCCUUGCCCCUUAUCAUUGCGAAUCGUCCUAGCUCGCCCUCCACCAACUCCAUCUUGGUGAGUAAGGUGACAUCAUUCCCCUCAUGAGAGAUCUUGAGGAUGUCCCAAAUCUGCUUGGCAUUGUCCAAGCCGCUCACCUUGUGAUACUCGUCCCUGCACAAAGAGGCUAGCAACACAGUAGUAGCUUGUGCAUUUUUAUGGAUCUGUUCAUUAAUAAACGAAGGGCUAUCCGAGCUAUCAAAUUUCAUUCCACUUUCCACAAUCUCCCAAAUGCUUGGAUGGAGAGAAAAUAGGUGAGUACGCAUUUUGUGACUCCAAAAUCCGUAGUCCUCUCCAUCAAAGUGAGGAGGCUUGCCAAGUGGAAUGGGGAGCAAAUGAGCAUUUGAGCUAUGCGGAAUGCGCGAAUAAUCAAAAGAAAAGUUUGAGUUAACCGUCUUUUGUUUGUCAUAGUCGUUGUCGUCGUUGUCCUUUUGGGAAGAGGAAGAUUCGUCGCUGUCGUCGUAGUAGACGAUCUCCUUGAUGCGCCUUGUCUUCUUCUUCUUCCCUUCCUUCCAUCUAUGGCCCGAGCCGGAGUCGGUAGGCUUGUCAUCUUUGGGCUCGUUGACGAAGGACUCCUUCUCCUUAUCGUUGAUCACGAUUCCCUUCCCCUUAGGAUCCAUCUCUUCGGGCGGUUAGUCCCUUUCUUGAAGAGAACGGCUUUGAUACCAAUUGAGAACACCUAGAGGGGGGGUGAAUAGGUGAUCCUGUAAAACUUAAACUUAUAGCCACAAAAAAACUUGUUAAGUGUUAGCACAAUAAUCGCCAAGUGGCUAGAGAGGAGUCUCAACAAAACACAAUACCACAAGAGAUCAAACACAGAGAUGACACAGUGGUUUAUCCCGUGGUUCGGCCAAGACCAACGCUUGCCUACUCCACGUUGUGGCGUCCCAACGGACGAGGGUUGCAAUCAACCCCUCUCAAGCGGUCCAAAGACCAACUUGAAUACCACGGUGUUUUGCUUUGCCUUUCAAUAUCCCGUUUGCGAGGAAUCUCCACAACUUGGAGUCUCUCGCCCUUACACUUGAAAUUCACAAAGAAGUACGGAGUAAGGGAGGGAAGCAACACACACAAAUCCACAGCAAAAUGCGCACACACACGGCCAAGAAUCGAGCUCAAAAGACUAUCUCAAAGUUCUCACUAGAACGGAGCUCGAAUCACUGAGAAUGACAAACGAAUGCGCAGAGACUGAGUGUGGAUGAUCAAGAAUGUUCUAAGGUUGCUUGGUGUACUCCUCCAUGCGCCUAGGGGUCCCUUUUAUAGCCCCAAGGCAGCUAGGAGCCGUUGAGAGCAAAUCUGGAAGGCCAAUCUUGCCUUCUGUCGUCGGGUGCACCGGACAGUCCGUUGCACACCGGACACUGUCCGGUGCCCGAUUUCUUUCCUUAAACGGCACAGCCGACCGUUGCCGACCGUUGGAGAUCUGGGAGCCGAUGGCGCACCGGACAUGUCUGGUGCACACCGGACAGUCCGGUGCCCCCUUCCGACCGUUGGCCAGGCCACGUGUCGUGCACAGAUUCCGCGGCCGACCAUUGGCUCACCGGACAGUCCGGUGAAUUUUAGCCGUACGCCGUCGGCAAAUUCCCGAGAGCGGCCUCUUCGCCCGAGGCAGCCUGGCGCACCGGACACUGUCCGGUGCACCACCGGACAGUCCGGUGCCCCAGACCGAGACAACCUUUUGGCUGUACACAGCCAACUCUUCUCUUCUUUCUUCUUUCUGUUUCUAUCACUUAGACAAGUGUAUUAGUAUACAAAACCAAUGUACUAAGGCUUAGAAACAUACCUUUACUCAUGAUUUGCACUUUGUUCAUCCAUGGUCAUAAAUUCACAUUUAAGCACUUGUGUUGGCACUCAAUCACCAAAAUACUUAGAAAUGGCCCAAGGGCACAUUUCCCUUUCAAGAAUUCCCACUGCUGAUCUGCUAAGCCGACUGGAUAUGAUCCUGAGGGGCAGAGUUUCGAAUGCUGGUGCUCCUGUUGCUUAUUCUGCCUGGAACCUGCCAUCAGAUAGAUCCUUUUUCAAGUUUGUGUCUAAUCCUCCUGCCCGUGAUGGUGGUUUGGGUCUUAGAGUGUGACCCUCCCCUGAGGACAUUGAAGCUUUAAUUGCCCCACUCCGGAGUCUCCCAAAGGGUGAGAGACAGACUCAUUUCGAGAUGUCAGCUAGCACGGACGACGAGGAGAUGGAUGCUAUGCUCAACUUGUUGGCUGGGGAGUCAUCUGAGUUGACACGUGCCGAGCCAAUGGCUAUCACAGACGGGCAAGAACUUGUUGGAAUGGAGACAAUCCGGAAACUCGAAGAGGUCCGUCCAAAGCGUCCACGCCGAGUGAGUCGACCUAUGCAUCCAUUGAAGAGAAAAGGAAGAAGAGGCAGCUUCGGCGACUGUCGAGCUUGGAUCAUUGGCGCGGGCCCUUCGGCGCCAAUUUGUGAUAAAGUGCCAGCAGAGGUUCUUCCUGAGGUUGAUCCCAAUGGUUGCGCCCAUGCUGAAGUUGAUCCCAAUGGGUGUGACCGUUUUGAAGUUGAACCCAAUGGGUGUGACCGUCUUGCAGUUGAUCCCAAUGGGUGUGACCGUGCACCGGCUGUUGUCUGUAUAUUUGUUGAAGAUGAAGAAGAAGUCCCGCUGAUUCGCAAGAACAGCCGGCAUUACAGAGGUAGUAAGGGGGAUAGUGACAUUCCUUCUCCAGCUCUGUCAGCUCUUGUCAGCCUUCAGGAACUGUCAAUAUCAGAUUUUGACCAGGCCCUUGAGGAGGUCGUCCCUGAGGACAUGCUAUCAGAGCCGACUACUGAUGACGUGAUGGCUAUUUGUUCGGACAUUUUCUAGCUGCAGGAUUGGAGGUAUCCCGAGCAGUGUCUCGUGCGUCGUCGACUUUGGAAGGCAGUCUUCAAUGCCGAGGCGUUGGUCCGGAUUGCCCGACUCACAUGGAGGUGACAGAGGAUCGUUCAGCCUUAGAGGUGGCUGCUAUAGAAGACCCAGCCCCCGAGGGUGUUCAGGUGAGCUCUCCUUCCCACACCUCCAUGGAUGUCCAUGUCGGGUUGUCUCCGCCACGAUCGGAUGGAGCGAUGGCGAUGCAUGCUUCUUCGGCUUCGAGCAAACAAGUCACCUUGGAGGUCGGCGAGUCGGAUGCAAGAAGUCUGGUAUCCGCUGGUGAGGCUGAGCUCACCCCUGACAACGUUCUUCAAAUUGUUCUGGUUGAUCUUCCUUCGUCGAGCUAUGAUGCAGCUCCCCCUGACUUAGGGUUACCAUCAUUCCUCUCCAAUCUCUAGGUGAGUCAGCUCUUGCAUUUUAUCAUUCCUCUUGGUAAAUUAUCUUUCCUAUACUCAUUUGUCUUCAAUCACAUGCUUUGGUUGACGGAAUGUCUGCUCAGUUGAGGUCACAUGGUGCCACUGUCCCAGAAGGAGCUCUGUCUCUAAUGCAGUGGAACCCAUUGCUGCUUCAGAAACAGAUUGCUGACUUGAAGGCGUCAAACGUUGGUUAGUAACUUCGUUUCUUCCUUAGCUGUUUCGAUUGAUCAACUUGUUUUUAACCAUGUAUCCCUCUUCUGCUGCCUUGUCAGAUAUGGCUCGGCUGUGCUCCGAGCUUGAGGAAAAACAUCUUCAAAGUCAAGCCGACUCAACCCGACGGUACUCUGAUCUUGAGGAGAGGUAUUCUCAAGGUCAAACCGACUUGGCUCGGGUUUCUGCUUCUCUAGACGAUGCACGUUCUUUGAAUUCUUCUCUCAAUGCUUAGCUUAACUCUGAAAGGGCAGCACAUGAGGUAAACUUUCUUAGUUGGCUUUGUCGUGCUUGCUGUUUACUGGAUGCUGAAAGUUGAUUCUUGUUCGUAGGAGGAGAAACGAGCGCUCGCAGCUUCUCGUGAUAAUCUAGACAGGUUAUAUCGUGAUGCCAGCAAUUCCUUAACCAUUUUGGAGAGGAGUCAUCGCUUCACUAUGUCAGAUCUGGAUCAUCAUCGUCGCAAGCUGCAAGUGUCCCAAGAUGAGGUCCUGCGGCUUAGACAGUUGGUGUCAAGCAAGGAUUCCAUCAUCAAAGAUCUACGCGCCUCCAAGAAGUUAGUCGCCCAGGAGCUAGAGGCCGCUCGACUGGCUACCAAAGUUUUAGAGGACAAUUGCACCAUUCUGAAGGCUCAACGCGACAAGGCUAUGGACAAAGCCAUUCGCGCGGGGCGGAUCUUGAUGAGGAGGCCCAGCAUAGUGGUUCCUGAUGACAUUGUUGCCGACGUUAAGGCUGCCCCUGAUGCUUCGAGUCGACCUUCUUCUUCACUGGCUCCUGUGGAAAACAUUGCCAACUGAGAUGUUUUGAUGCGGUGACAUCCUGUGAAAUACUGAGUGUACUAUGAAUUCUAUGUGUUUGUGAUGGUUGUAUUUGAAUAUUUUGUGGAUAGGGCACUAGAACGUGUCCUUGGUGCUGACAAUUAUAAUCUCUUGUUCUCCUGAAGUACCGAUUGUUUCUGUUGUCAGGGUAUAACAGUCAUCCUGAACAAUUAUGAAAGUAAAUGUAGCAUGCUGGUUUUGGAACUUUCCCUGGCUUGUGCCAAUCGCUUGGCUGGUUAGGCAUAGUGGUCGCCUUAGGAUAGGUAGAUGUAUCGUGCUGACUUUUAAAUCAUUGCUGGCUUUUGAGUUGAUUGCCCUGCUAGUAGGGUAUAGUGGUUCCCCUAAACCGAGUCAGCGUGAACAUGCAACAUCAUCUUAGGUCAUUGCCGACCUAAGGUGACUGCUCCGCUAGUAGGGCGUAGUGGUCACCCUAGGUCAAGUAAGCGCGAGCAUGUUACACCAUCUUAAGUUGUCGCCGACUUAAGUCGAUUGUCCUAUUAGUAGGGUAUAGUGGUCACCCUAAGUCGAGUAAGAGCGAGCAUGUUGCACCGCCUUAAGUCAUCGCUGACUUAAGCCGAUUGCUCCGUUAGUAGGGUAUAGUGGUCACCCUAAGUCGAGUAAGAGCGAGCACGUUGCACCGUCUUAAGUCGUCGUCGACUUAAGCCGAUUGCUCCGUUAGUAGGGUAUAGUGGUCACCCUAAGUCGAGUAAGCACGAGCAUGUUGCACCAUCUUAAGUCGUCGCCGACUUAAGCCGAUUGCUCUGUUAGUAGGGUAUAGUGGUCACCCUAAGUCGAGUAAGCGCGAGCAUGUUGCACCAUCUUAAUUCGUCGCCUACUUAAGCCGAUUGCUUCGUUAGUAGGGUAUAGUGGUCACCCUAAGUCGAGUAUGCGCGAGCAUGUUGCACCGUCUUAAGUCAUCGCCGACUUAAACUGAUUGCUCCGUUAGUAGGGUAUAGUGGUCACCCUAAGUCGAGUAAGUGUGUUGAUUCCAAGUCCAAUCGAAUCGAAGUCAAGUGAUAGUUAACAGUUUGAAUGUCCUUGAAAAUGAAAACUUUAUUGAUGAUGUAUUCUUCCAUUAUAGAGUACAAUGUUGCUCCGAUAGCUUUCGAGGCCUUGCUAAGGGUAAAACUUUCUAAGAUGCUCUAUGCUCCAUUAAUUCCCCACUUCCGUACCAUCCAUUUGUGUAAGCCGAUAUGAUCCUGGCCGAGUGACCUUCGAUACAAUGAAUGGCCCUUCCCAUAGUGGUGACAACUUGUGCCGUCCUUCCCCCGUUAGAAUUCGGCGAAGUCCCAAGUCUCUCACUACAAAGGAUCGAUGUUGUAUAGCUUUAUCAUGAUAGCGCCUCAAGGUCUGCUGGUAUCUGGCUGACUGAAUUACUGUGUUCAAUCACUCUUCCUCCAGUACAUCAAUAUCCUCUAGAGCCUGGUAGCUUCUCCUUUAGCUAUGCUUUCGAAGACCAGCCUUGACGCCCCGAACUUGAGGUCGGCGGGUAGCACCGCUUCCGAACCAUAGACCAUGAAGAACAGGGUAUUUCCAUGCAGGGCUCGACUAGGUUGAGUUCUCAAGCCCCAAACCACAUAGGGCAAUUCUCGAACCACUGUUGGGGACUUGUUCUCAAGUGCUAUGAAUUAAGAACAAGGCAACAUAAAAUGUUAAAUGUUAACGUCCUUCGUCCAUGAAGCAUUAUUCCCUUGAGGAUAAUGGGCCUUGGACGAAGGUUGAUGAGAGUAAAAUUAUGAAGCUUAAGACUUCGUAAUUAAAUUUCAAUACAUAUUGUGAGAUAACAUAAAAUGAAAGGUAUAAAGAAGGUAAAUAAAUCAUAGACGAGUUAUGUUAUAUUUACUUAAGAUAUUGAAUCAUAGAAUACAAUAAUACCUCUACCUUGGCAAAGGUUGGAUUCCGAAAGAUGCGAUUCCAAUUACCAGAAUGCGUGAACAGUAAAGGAAUACUGUUCACUAUUUAUAGGCACAGGACGCAGCCUGUGAGAAAUUACAAGUAUGCCCCUUAUGAAAGCUUACAACAUUGACUCAGACCUUUAUGGACUAAAAGGUCAUUCUAUUUUUAAGUCGGUUUGUAAUACCGAAGCUUCACGAAGAGGAACCUUCGGCCAUCUUAUACAAACAGCUUCAGCCGAGGACCGCUUCUUCCUGUAAGACCUUCAGCGACGAAGCAUAGGCCCAACAAAAGCCCCUUUCGCGGUGCUAGAUCGUUUUUCGUAACGAGCUUGAUCCGUGAAAAAAGUCUCUUAGGCUUCGGGGAGCCGAAGGUCCAAAAAACACCUUCCCUGAGCUCGUUGUCGAGAAACGAUUUAAUUUCCCAGCGUGUAGCGGUCCCACGUUGCAGAGUUACUGUUUGGUCUCUGCGGUCCACCGCACAGCGAGUGCAAGCGGGUUUCCGCCUGGUGUAAAAAUCCUGGCGCUUCGCCUUCUUUCCUGCAGUACUAUAUAAACAGAUGAGUAGGUGUGAAGUUACCACAGCAUUCAUUGCUAUUUGCACUGUUCUGCUGCCAACAUUUUUAACCAUCGCCGAAGCUUGUCUGUCGGAAUCAAACGAAGCUCCAGUUUGAGGCCUGCUUCGUCAGAAAAAACUUCGGAAGAAGAAAGUGUUAAAUUUCCACAUAUUCAUAAUUAAAUGGCCAGAGUGCGUUCUACCGCCAGGGUUGAGCGUGAGGGGGGCGAAACUGAAGCUUUGGAGACUGUUCCCAUCUCCGAAGCCAUGCAGCGAUCCGGGCUGGUGACUUCGGAAAAGAUCCCUAGUGAUGAUGCAGAACAAGCAGAACAAGCAAUUGCUGAAGUAGAAGAAGAUAUUGAGGAAACUGAUCCCGAAGAUGAUUAUCGCAUUGCCAUGCCAAGCAAGCCCAGCCACUUGGACUUCGGGAAAUCUACUGUUUCGAAGGCUAAUAUGUCCAAGAUGGUAAAGUCAGGCUUUUUUACUGAAGACCAGAAGAAGCUAUUACGCUUCGGGGGAGAAGAGACUACCCCAAAGCCGGAGAAGGAUGAAAUUGUUAUUUUCAAGAGCUUCCUAAAGGCUGGAUUAAGAUUCCCCCUACAUGGGAUUAUUGCAGAGGUACUAAAAAGGUUCGGUAUCUAUUUUCACCAGCUGACCCCUAACGCUAUCGUUAGGCUUAGUGUUUAUAUCUGGGCACUCCGAAGCCAAGCGGUGGAACCGUUUGCGGACAGCUUUUGCCGAGUUCACGAACUGCACUAUCAGACGAAGGCUAGAAAGGAUGGAUUACAUGACAAUUUUGGUUGCUAUAAUUUUGCUUAUCGAAAAACUACGAAGUUUCCUGUGAUCAGCUACCGAAGCAAAUGGGCAGCAGGGUGGAAAUCGGAGCGGUUCUAUGUCAAGGUUGAUGAUGAUAAGGAAAAGCUUGUGCAAAGUCCACUUGAACUAAUCUUCGGAGAAACCCGCCCCCACUGCAACAUGACACCAGAGGGUCCAACUCAAAAAGCAAUGUAUGAAUUCAAAAUAAUUGCAGAGCAUAUCAGUACAAGGGACCUGGUCCAGGAGUUUUUGGCUUUCAAGGUUUUUCCUAGUGUAAGAGAGUGGGAAAUGCCGAAGCUGAAGGGGGAGAAAAAAGAAGGUGAACUCGUGCGCUUACCUUACUACUUCAAGUUUAAGAAAUACUUUAAAACACCUUGCCAAGAGUGGCUGGAUACAAUUGAAGUGAUGUGCAAUGAAAUACUUGGCAAUUAUUCUAAAAAAGAAGAUCAGUUGAUGACCGCAGCCUUCGGCACCCGUCCGAAGCGAAGACUAAACCGAGUGCUGGACGCCCUGGGUUUCGAAUACCCUGAUUAUGUAAAUCUGAACAAAGGUGCCGGAGGCCAAAAAAGGAAAAAGAUAACUGAAGCCUUAAAUGAAGAUGAAAAAGAAUUACCAAAGAAGAAAAUUCCGAAGAGGAAGAAAGCGUCUUCUCCGAAGCGUAAAAUAUCCGACGAAGAAACCCCCGCAUCACCCUCUGCCGCUGACGUUGAGGAAAUUCUGAAGGUAAUGACUGAAUCCUUACCUGCGAAGCUAAGUCCACUGGGGCCCCAUCUGACAAAGUUUUUUCAGAAGGACAAGGAGCCCGAAAAAUCGAAGAAAAUAAUUAAAGCAAAGAGACAAAGAAUUAUCACUGUGACAGAAGUAAUUGACAAGACACCGCCAAGAGCUUCAGCUCAGAAAGCACCAGCGACUGCGGAAAGGACAGAUAUUGAAAUUGCACCUUCGGAGGUCGCAGCUGCCGAAGCUGCUUCAGCUGAAGGUUUGAACCUGGAGAGCACAAUUGAACACAUUGACAAAAUACUGCUAGACAUGGCUGCAGAAGAAGCUACCACCGCCGCCGAAGAGGCCGCGACCGCAGCGUCGGAGAAAGGGAAAGAAAUUGCUGAUGAAGCUUCAGAAAACGAAGCCUUCAUUUUCCAGAAUUUAGUUGGGGAAAAACUAUCAAAAGCUGAGAUAGAAGAGCUUAGAGAGUAUGCCAAAUCCUGCGGAUACAAACCUGGAGCACUCCUCUUCGGAGGCGUUGAUGAUGAAAAAUUAGAUUGUAUUCGAGAUCAAACCGGAGCCAAAGUUAUCGGUACUCUGUCCAAGAGUAUCGGCUUUCCGAAGCUAGAAACAGACAUCAGCCGCUACCGACGACAACAUAUCGUUGGUAGUUUAUUUUAUUCCAACUUCAAGGUGAACUACUUUUCCCUUAACUUUUAUUGUUUCUAAUGAUGAAAACAUGUCUGACGAAGGUUGUUUUCGUGCAGAGUAUGUUGUUGAGCAAAGCCUUGCAAAUGCAGCAAGAUUUUGAAGAUAAGAAGCACGAAGUUAUAAUUGAAAAUUUGGAAAGCAGAAUAAAGGAGCAAUCAGAUGCUUUCGAGAAAAAGAACUUUGAGCUCCAGGCAACCGAAGGUUUAUUGGCGGAAGCUGAAGCAAAAAUAACAGAACUGAACACGAAGCUUCUCCGCCAGUCUGAGCAGUUCGAACGAGAAAAACAAGAUCUUAAUGCAAAACUUGAAGCCGAAGCUCAACAAAAUUCAGAUUUGAGAAAACUAUUGACGAGCCUUCAAGAAAAAUGUUUGGAAUUUAGCAACAAAUGCAUUCAACGAUUAAGAAAGAUUUUUCACUCAGUUGGAGCCAGCAGUGAAAAAUUCACCCCCUCAGCUGAAGAUCUACCGAAAACCUUCGAACAUAUUGAGGGUGAGAUUGACGAGCUCGACGAAGUCAUAGCUGGGCAUGGUGACUUCUGUGCCUGGGUGGCUUCUCGGGGCACCGCUGCAGCUUUCCUGAAAGCUGGUUGUGAUCAUGGAAAGAUUGUCAAUAGGCCAAAUUUCACUUUAUCACCAUCAAUCCUAGAUGACAUUACUGAUCUCGCCCGAAGUAUCUCUAAUAGAUUUGUAAAAAUGAUAUGGACAAAAGGUGGGCGAGAAAAGGCUGGAGACGAAGCUCAUAGCCACCUUGAACCAGUAAGAAACCAUACCUUGUGCUUACCUUUUCCUGCAAGCUCGAUUUUGACUUACAACGACCUUAUUCAUGUAGGAUGACGAAGCCGAAGCCGAUGAUUAAAAAAUGACGCCGAAGCUGAAGCUCCUUGGAGAUUAGAUAGUAGACUGUAGACAGUACUUGAGAAACUUUUGAGAUAACUUUUGUAAAUGUAACUAAAACUUGUCUUUGAUGAAUUCUGUUCAUACCUUGUGAUAUAUCCUUAUCCUUCCAUUGAUGUACGAGAAAUGCUUUGAUGUGAACGAAAUUUUUUCUUUUUUGAGCCGAAGGCGAAAAAACACCUUCCCUUCUUUUCGUACACAGCGAAGCAUAGAAAACAACAUUUUCCUCCUUUCCGAAGCUCCCCUUUUUGUACACGAAGCUCUUUCUUCCCCCCUUUUUUUUCUUUUUGCCGAAGCAACCAUUUAUGCCAUGAGGAUGAUUAUCCUAUAUAUGCCUGGAUGAAUGUUUAUGAAUGCAAAUGCUAUGAUGUAAUGUGAUGUGCAAAUGAAUGGCCAAACACGUAUCCGAAGCCAUACUCAUAGCCAUUAUUUUCUUAAAAACAAUCACACCUCAGCUCUGCAUUCCCUUAGGAACGACUUUGGAGCUUCUUCGCCUUUACUUUUGGCGGAAUCAGCGUUGACUUUUCGCUGUAAGCUCUGCAUUCCCUUAGGAACGACUUUGGAGCUUCUUCGCCUUUACUUUUGGCGGAAUCAGCGUUGACUUUUCGCUGUAAGCUCUGCAUUCCCUUAGGAACGACUUUGGAGCUUCUUCACUUUUUACUUUUUGGCACUCGAUGGUGCACUCUCAGCUUUUACAUUUACAUUCCUUGGGGGAUUUUGCUCUUAUAGAACUAAAAAAGGAAAUUACAUGUGAUGGCCCCAUUAAAAACCUUUCUCCCCCUUUAGAAAGGAAAAGGGUGCCAUGAGAAAGAAAAAACAUAAAAAAUUACAUCAAGUUACACAUAAUAUCGCCGAAGCUCAUCCGCAUUCCAAGAUCUAGGAAUAUCGUUGCCGUCCAUAUCCUUCAAUCUGUAUGAACCGGGUCUUGACGAAGAUGCUACUAAGAAAGGUCCGUCCCAUUUCAACUGCAGCUUGCCCACUGUUUCUGGGUUGGCCACUCUCCGAAGCACCAAGUGUCCUGGCUCAAUAUUUUUUAGCCGAACCUUUCUAUCUCGCCAUUUGAUUGUUUCGGCUUGAUAUUUAUUGAUGUUCUCCACGGCUUGCAGCCUGAUCCCUUCUAAAGCAUCUUUUUCUACAGAAUAAGCAGCUUCGGAAUCUGAUUCUGCCGAAGCUACUACCCUUAUUGAUCCGGUUUUAGCUUCCUCCGGAGUUAUUGCUUCGUCACCGAAUAACAACUUGAAUGGAGUAAAGCCUGUAGACCUUGAUGUUGUUGUGUUGUGGCUCCACACCACUUUGGUUAACUGAUCUGGCCACUUUCCCCUGGGUUGAUUGAAGAUUAACUUCAUUAUUCCUGUCAUUAUAAUGUCGUUGGCUCUUUCAACGAGUCCGUUUGACUCCGGAUGCCUGACUGAAGCAAAAUGGAUCUUCGUACCAAUUUGGUCACAGAAAUCCCUGAAAGCUUCAGAGUCAAACUGUGUUCCAUUAUCCACAGUGAUAGCCUUUGGCACCCCGAAACGACAAACAAUAUUCUGCUAGAAAAACUUUUGGACGGUGGCCGAAGUUAUUGUGGCUAAAGGCUUUGCCUCAAUCCAUUUAGAAAAAUAUUCCACAGCUACUACAACAUAUCUCAGGUUCCCUUGGGCCGGUGGUAACGGACCUAACAAGUCAAGGCCCCACCUUUGCAAUGGCCAAGUGGGUUGUAUGAGCUGUGUUAAGGACGAAGGUUGUUUUUGAUCUCUUGCACAUUUCUGACAACCUUCGCACUUUUGAACUAAUUCCGCUGCAUCCGAAGCUGCCUUCGGCCAAUAAAACCCUUGGCGAAAUUUUUUUCCAAGUAACGGCCUAGAUCCAAUGUGAGAUCCACACAGGCCUGCAUGUAUUUCUUUCAUUAACUCUAUACCUUCGGUUCUAGAUAAACACUUGAGUAGCGGAGCACAAACUCCAUGCUUGUACAACUCCCCUUCUAUCAUGACAUAUGGACGAGCUCUUGCCUCUAUCCUCCUGUUAUAAGCUUCGUCAUCUGAAAGGAAUUUACCCUGAAGAUAAGAGAUGAUCUCAGUUCUCCAAUCUUCGCUAUAAACAGGAGAUAUAUUGAGGACUGCUCUUUCAAGAAGUUCCACCGAAGGUGCUUUUAUUGUUUCGAAGAACACAUCCGAAGGUAAGGGCAGCCCCUGUGCUGCUGACUUAGCUAGCAAAUCAGCAUGCUCAUUUUGUCCUCGAGGGAUAUUUUUGACAGAAAAUCCCUCGAAGGAAGCUUCAACUCUUCGAACCAUAUCCAGAUACUUUUCAAGCUUCGGAUCUUUAGCCUUGCAACUCUUGUCGAUAUGACCCGAAACAACUUGGGAAUCAGUUUUAAGAAUGGCUCUUCUGAUUCCCAUUGCUUUUAGCUUCCGAAGACCCAGAAGCAGGGCUUCAUACUCGGCAAUGUUGUUUGUGCAACUAAAAUCAAGCUUUGCCGCAUAACAAGUUUUAACUUUGGAAGGUGAAACUAACACAGCAGCCGCUCCUGCUCCGAAGGUUCCCCAGGACCCAUCGCAAAACACUGUCCAUGCUUCGGCGUCUUUAUUUGUUUCUUCCUCCUGAGCCCCUGGCGUCCAGUCAGCAAUGAAGUCUGCUAACGCCUGGGACUGAAUCGAAGAUCUAUGAACAUAUUCAAUACAAAAUUCAUUGAGCUCUGCAGCCCAUUUUCCAAUCCUUCCAGUAGCUUCUCGGUUCCUCAUAAUAUCCUUCAGAGGUUGUGAAGAAGGAACAAUUAUGUUGUAAGCUUGAAAAUAGUGCCGAAGCUUCCUGGAUGCCAUCAAAACAGCAUAUAACACCUUCUCUAAUUCUGUGUAGUUUUUCUUUGAUAUACUAAGAACUUCAGAUACAAAAUAUACUGGGACCUGCUUCCUGACUUGGCCAUCAAGCUUCUCCUGGACAAGUGCUGCACUUACCGCUGAGUGCGAAGCUGCCACAUAUAAUAAUAAAGGAGCCCCUGGCGUAGGUGGAGUUAGUGCUGUUAAAUCUAUCAAAUACUGCUUUAGCUCUUCGAAGGCCUUCUGCUGGAUUGGUCCCCAUUGAAAGACUUCGACUGACUUCAGCACUUCGAAGAAUGGUAAGUUUCUCUCUGCUGAUCUGGAUAUGAAUCUAUUGAGAGAUGUCAACCUUCCUGUCAAUCUUUGAGCCCCCUUUUUUGUAGUUGGUGGCUCCAUCCGAAGUAUAGCUUCAAUCUUACUUGGAUUAGCUUCAAUUCACUUUGUUGAAACCAAGCAUCCUAGAAAUUUCCCCUUCUUUACUCCGAAGACGCAUUUUUCUGGAUUCAACUUUAAGCCAGCUUGUCUGAAACUGGCGAAGGUCUCCUGCAGGUCAGCAAUAUGAUUCUCCUGCUUCGUGCUUUUUACAAUGAUGUCAUCAACAUAAGUUAGCACAUUUCUGCCUAUCUGGGACUGGAGAACCUUCGCAGUCAUUCUGCUGAAACUUCCUCCAGCGUUUUUGAGCCCCUCAGGCAUCCGAAGAUAACAAUAUGUGCCGCUUGGAGUUAUGAAGCUAGUCUUCGGCUCAUCUUCCUUCUUCAUCCAGAUUUGAUGAUAGCCUGAAUAACAGUCUAACAGACUCAUAAGCUCUGAAGAGGCUGCUGCAUCAACUAAAGAGUCUAUCCUUGGCAAUGGGAAUUCAUCCUUCGGACAAGCCUUGUUAAGAUCUGUAAAAUCGAUACACAUUCGCCACUUGCCAUUGGCCUUUCUUACCAUAACAGUGUUAGCUAGCCAUUCUGGGUACUUUACUUCUCUGAUAACUCCUGCACUGAGGAGUCUUUUAACUUCGUUGCGAGCACCUUCGGCCUUAUCAUCUGACAUUUUCCGAAGCCUUUGCUUUCUGGGUCUGAAGGAUGGAUCGACAUUGAGCGAAUGCUCAAUGACAUCCCUAUUAACUCCGCAGAGAUCAUUGGCUGACCAUGCAAAAACAUCUUUGUUGUUGAACAAAAACCUUAUCAAGGUUUUCUCUUGUUCUUCGGAUAACUGAGAGCCCAACAGCACCUUCUGCUCUGUUAUAUCCUCACAUAAGAGCAUGGGCUUCGGCUGAUCUGCUGAAGCUGCCUUCUCCCUUCUGAAUUUGUAUUGUUCACAAGCUUCAGCUCCAUCUAUGUUAUGGAUUGCUUUUGAAUCAGUCCAGUUUCCUUCGGCCCUUCUGGCAGCUUCCUGGCUUCCAUGAAUAGCGAUGGGUCCUUGAUUCGAAGGUAUCUUCAUGCAAAGAUAGGCAGGGUGAAGAAUUGCUUCAAAAGCAUUGAGGGUGCCACGACCAAUAAUUGCAUUGUAAGGGUAUUCCAUGUCAACAAUGUCAAAUACAACUUGCUCAGUUCUAGUGUUGUUGAUGAACCCGAAGGUCACUGACAUGGUAAUCUUGCCCAGUGCUACAAUCUGUCUUCCUCCGAAGCCACAGAGAGGAUGUGUAGCAUCAUGAAUCUUAUCUUCUGGCUCUUGCAUUUGUCUGAAGGCCUUAGCAAAUAUGAUGUCAGCUGCACUGCCUGUGUCAACCAAGACAUUGUGGACCAGAAAUCCUUUGAUAACACAAGAGAUAACCAUGGCAUCGUUGUGUGGGUAAUCCUUAAGCUGAAGGUCCUCUUGGGAGAAGGUAAUAGGAAUGUGAGACCAUCUUGACUUGAUGAAGGGUCCUUGCACCCCAACAUGAUGUACCCUUCUCUGUGCUUCCUUUUUUAGUUUCUUGUUAGCUGGCUCUGAGGACGAGCCACCUAUGAUCGGGAGCACCAGCUUCGGGUUCGAAGCAGCUCCAGCUUGGUCGUUGAACGAAGCCAUCAGCUCAAAAAGUGGAAGUGAGUUCACCGGAGGUGGGCGCCAAUGUUGGGGACUUGUUCUCAAGUGCUAUGAAUUAAGAACAAGGCAACAUAAAAUGUUAAAUGUUAACGUCCUUCGUCCAUGAAGCAUUAUUCCCUUGAGGAUAAUGGGCCUUGGACGAAGGUUGAUGAGAGUAAAAUUACGAAGCUUAAGACUUCGUAAUUAAAUUUCAAUACAUAUUGUGAGAUAACAUAAAAUGAAAGGUAUAAAGAAGGUAAAUAAAUCAUAGACGAGUUAUGUUAUAUUUACUUAAGAUAUUGAAUCAUAGAAUACAAUAAUACCUCUGCCUUGGCAAAGGUUGGAUUCCGAAAGAUGCGAUUCCAAUUACCAGAAUGCGUGAACAGUAAAGGAAUACUGUUCACUAUUUAUAGGCACAGGACGCAGCCUGUGAGAAAUUACAAGUAUGCCCCUUAUGAAAGCUUACAACAUUGACUCAGACCUUUAUGGACUAAAAGGUCAUUCUAUUUUUAAGUCGGUUUGUAAUACCGAAGCUUCACGAAGAGGAACCUUCGGCCAUCUUAUACAAACAGCUUCAGCCGAGGACCGCUUCUUCCUGUAAGACCUUCGGCGACGAAGCAUAGGCCCAACAACCACUUUCCUGCAAACUUUUCAUUUUUGUCAAACACCUUCUUCUUGAGUGCUUCUAGUAUCAUUCCAUUAGCCCUUUCCACCUGACCAUUGGCUCUUGGGUGUGCUACUGAUGCAUACUUGAUCUGGAUACUCCGUUGUUCGCAGAAAUCAAAGAAUUCAGAGCUAGUGAAGUUGGAUCCCAGGUCAGUUAUGAUGCUAUUCGGUAUCCCAAACCUGAAUAUUAUGUCUUGUAUGAACUCCACUAUCUUGGCUGAAGUUAAAGAAGCAAUAGGUUUGUACUCUAUCCAUUUAGUGAAUUUGUCGAUGGUGACCAGCACGUGAGUAUAGCCUCCAUGAGCUUUCUUGAAGGGUCCCAUCAUGUCCAAUCCCCAGCACGCAAAUGGCCAUGUUACAGGUAUGGUCUGCAGCUGCUGUGCUGGUAAAUGUUGUUGCUUUGACAAGAAUUGGCAAGCUUCACAUCUCUGGACUAACUCGGCUGCGUCACUCUUUGCUGUUGGCCAAUAGAAUCCAGACCUGAAAACUUUCCUAACCAGAGUUCUGGAUGCUGCGUGUAUUCCACACUGUCCGGCGUGGAUCUCAUCUAAUAGCUGUUUCCCAGUAGCCGAGGAAAUGCACUUCAUGAGGACUCCUAUCGUACCCCUUUCUAUACAGUGCGCCCCAUAUGAGGGUGUAGUGGGCCGACUGUCUCGUGAUGCAUUCUGCUGCGGCCUUAUCAUCCGGUUCUUCUUCAUUCCUUAUGUACCUGAUGAUACGCUCUCUCCAGUCAUUAGGGUCCGGUUCUGGUUGGCUUAGGGUGUUGCACUCUUCCGCCUGAUCUGAGGGAAUACUUGGGUGUGGCACUUCCUGGACAAAGACUCCAGGUGGGACCUGGGCCCGACUGGAUCCUAGCUUCAACAACGCGUCUGCUGCUGCGUUGCGGUCUCUUUCCACGUGAUGGAAUUCCAAACCUUCAAACUUGUCUUCCAAUUUUCAUACGGUCGUACAGUAUUUGCCCAUGGAGUCAGUCGGGCAAUCCCAAUCUUUAUUUAUCUGGCUUAUGACCACUAGUGAAUCUCCGUAUACCAUCAACCUCUUAAUGCUCAGUGAUAUGGCAAUGUUCAACCCAUGUAUCAGUGCUUCAUAUUCUGCUGCAUUAUUCGAUGUCGGGAAUAACAACUGAAACACGUACUUGAGUUGUUCACCUCUAGGGGCAAUGAAGAGGAUUCCUGCACCUGCUCCCUGCAGUUUCAGCGAGCCAUCGAAAUACAUCCGCCAUACUUCAGUAGCUUCUGGGUUGUUAGGAACUUGUUGCUCGGUCCACUCUGAUACGAAGUCAACUAGUGCUUUAGUCUUCACUGCUGUGCGCUGCCGAAAUUCUAUGUCAUGAGCUUCCAGCUCGCAGACCCACUUGGCUAUUCUUCCAAUGGCUUCUUUGUUGUGAAGGAUAUCCCCUAUUGAGAACCCAGUGAACACUAUGACUUUGUGGUCGUCAAAGUAGUGACGGAGUUUGCGAGCAGUUAGAAGUACUACAUAUAGUAAUUUUUGAACUUGGGGAUACUUCUUCUUAGAGGGCCCCAGAACUUCACUGAUGAAGUAGAGCGGGUGCUGUACUGGAUAUGUGUGUCCUUCCUCUGCCCGCUUGAUUACUAACGCGGUGCUCACCACGUGAGUCGUGCAGGAGAUGUAUAACAACAGAUCUUCUAUCGGCUGAUUUGGUGUGGCUCGGCAUGGCGGCUUCAGUACUGGUGGUGUGGUCAAGAACCUUUUCAAUGCUUCGAGAGCUUCCAGUGCUUCUGCGGUCCACUGGAACUUGUCCACCUUCUUGAGCAAUUUGUAGAAUGGUAAGCCUUUUUCGCCUAGUCUUGAUAUGAACCUGCUCAGGGCUGCCAUGCAUCCAGUAAGUCAUUGCACUUUUUUCUGUGAUCGCGGUGCUUCCAUUCUCAUGAUAGCCUCAAUCUUUUCUGGGUUAGCUUCAAUUCCUUGGUGGCUGACAAUGAAUCCGAGCAACUUCCCUGCUAGUACUCCGAAGACACAUUUUUCUGGAUUGAGCUUCCACCAGUAUCGCCUCAGGCUGUUGAAGACCAGCUGCAAAUCUUCAAUGAAGUUUUCUGAGUUUUCUGUUUUGAUCACCACAUCAUCAACAUAAGCUUCUACCCUCUUGCCCCAGUGAUUGGCUAAGCAUGUCUAAAUAGCUCUCUGGUAAGUCGCUCCUGUGUUCUUGAGACCGAACGGCAUGGAGGUAUAGCAGAAAGCUCCAAACGGGGUAAUGAAUGCAGUUUUUUCCUCAUCUUCUUUUGCUAAGCUGAUCUGAUGGUACCCAGAAUAGCAGUCCAGGAAGGACAGCAUAGAACAUCCAGCGGUCGAAUCAACCACCUGAUCUAUCCUAGGGAGUCCGAAGGGAUCCUUCGGACAGUGUUUAUUGAGAUCUGUAUAGUUGACGCACAUGCGCCAAUCCACUUUAUUCUUUUUGAGUACAAGAACAGGAUUUUCUAGCCACUCAGAAUGCAGUACUUCUCUAAUGAACCCUGCUGCAACUAAGUGAGCUAGCUCGGUGCGAAUAGCUUCUCUCUUGUCAGGCGUGAAACGACACAGUUUUUGUCGGAUCGGCCUUGCUUGGGGAUAAACCUUCAAUUUGUGCUCGACUAGUUCUCUUGGGACUCACGGCAUAUCCGCAGGUUGCCAUGCGAAUACGUCUCAGUUAUCUUGCAGGAACUAGACGAGUGCGCCUUCCUAUUUGUCGUCCAGGCUGGAGCUGAUGACGGCAAUCUUGCGUUCAUCAGCAAACCCAAGGUUGAUUCUUUUCAUCUCCUCAGUUGGCCGCAUAGAGGUCACGGCUUGAGCUUCAUUCGCAGGUAUCGUGAGGUCUUCCUCAGGCUUUGAGUUUGCCUGUGUGGAAGAAGUCGUCGGUGGUUUGGUAGUGAGGGCCGUCUAAAUGGCUGCUCAGAAACAUUCCACGGUGCCUUGGAAGUCAGCACACACCGUGAUGAUCCCUUGCGGUCCUGGCAUCUUCAAUAUCAUGUACGAAUAAUGCGGAAUGGCCAUGAAUUUCGCCAAUCCUGGCCUACCGAUGAUGGCAUUGUAUCCGUAGUCGAAGCUUGCCACCUCAAACCUCAGGAACUCGGUUCUGUAAUUUUCCGGAGUUCCAAAGGUAACAGGCAUGUAGAUGUGUCCAAGCGGGUAUUCUCCUACAGUCGGCACAAUGCCGAAGAAAGGAGUGUCCGACUCAUGGAGCUCUUUGAGUGCAACUCCCAAGCCCAAGAGUGUCCGGGGGAAGGUGACGUUGAUGCUGCUUCUAAUACUUUCUUUACCCUGCUCUCUCGGAUCACCGGAUCGACGAGGAGCGGGUACUUGCCCGGAUGAUCGAAGUUGAGCCAUUGAUCCGCCCGAGUAAAGGUGAUCGGGUGUUCUGACCACCGAUAGGGGGCGGGGACACUGGUGGUUGCCACCAGUAUCUGUCGGUCGUUGAGCUUCUGUUGCCUUUUGUUUUCUUGCGACCCAUGUCCUCUGAAGAUGACGUUGACCUCUCCGUCGACACGCGGAAAUGCUCUACCUCCUCCCUCUUUCUGCUGCUGAGGUCGUCGAGGUUCACCGGGCCCUCCUCGCAGUGGGGGAGGUGGUAGAGGUUGGAAGGGUCGGCCAUUCCCGACAGAAUGCUUGAAGUCUCUGCAGUUCCGCAAGAUGUGGCGCAUAUCCUUGUGAUACGGGCACUGGGCAUCGAGGAUGUCAUCUAGUGUCCGCUCGCCUCCGCGGGGUGCACGAGAGACGGGUGGUCCAGCGGCAUGGACCUCUUCACGAGGCCUCUUCUCCCAGCGCUUGUCGGUCUGCUGGUUUGCGUCACACCGUGGUGCAGAUGGAGCAGGCUUCACUCCCCCAAUGAGGUCCUGAGCCCGUUCGUCGGCAGUGAUGUAGAGGUCCACCUCCCUGAACAGCUGCUCGGAAGUGGUCGGAGCCUUUUGCAGUAUGGCUCGGACGAAGGCCGAGUCAUUGGAUCCCCGGUAGAAGUCCUCGAUCACUGCUGCUUCAGCGACCUCAGGGAUGCGAUUUCUCAUGGUCUGAAACCUCUUGAGGUACGACCAAAGAGUCUCAUCCCCUCGGCGUCUGAUGGAUUUGAGGUCCCAUGGCUGCGCCGGUUUGUCGAAGAGGGAUUGGAAGUUGGCGAUAAAACGCCGACUGAAGUCGCUCCAAUCAUCGAUGCAGUGUCGCGGUAGAUGUCGCAGCCAUUGCAAUGCAUCUUGCCCGAGGACGAUGGGUAAAUACGUAGUCAUUGAAAGGGAAAUGUGCCCUUGGGCCAUUUCUAAGUAUUUUGGUGAUUUAGUGUCCAACACAAGUGCCCAAGUGUUAAAUGGUGGACAAAGUACAAAUCAAGUAUAAAGGUAUGUUUCUAAGACUUAGUAUAUUGUUUUGGAGACUAAUAAAUUAUGUCUAACUGCUGGAAACAGGAAAAAUCAAGUUGGAAUUAAAGAUGGCUUUGUUUAGCCGAAGUCAGCUCAGUCUGGGUGCACCGGACUGUCCGGUGGUGCACCGGACAGUGUCUGGUGCGCCAGGCCGACUCAGGCGAACUUGCUGCUCUCGGGAAAUCGUCGGCGACGUACGGCUAUAAUUCACCGGACUGUCCGGCGUGCACCGGACUGUCCGGUGAGCCAACGGUCGGCCGCGUAAUCCGUGCGCGACGCGUGGCCAAGCCAACGGCUAGAAGGGGGCACCGGACUGUCCGGUGUGCACCGGACAGUGUCUGGUGCGCCAACGGCUCCAAAGCGCCAACGGUCGGCUUCGCCAAAGAAGGAAAGAAAUCCGCACCGGACAGUGUCCGGUGCGCCAGGCGACAGAAGGCAAGAAUUGCCUGCUUGAAAUGCUCUCAACGGCUCCUAGCUGCCUUGGGGCUAUAAAAUGGACCCCUAGGCGCAUGGAGGAGUACACCAAGCAUUCUCUAAGCAUUCCUAAGCACCAAGACUUCGAUUCCGCGUAUUUGAUUCUUUGUGAUAGCAACUAGAGCUCCAUUUGAGUUGUGAACUCGUCGGGUUGUGUUGUGAGCUCUUGUUGUGACUUGUGUGCGUGUUGGUACUCUGAUUUCGUGUCUUGUGUGCAUUGCUCAUCCCUCCCUUACUCUGUGCUUCUUUGUGAACAUCAAAGUGUAAGGGCGAGAGGCUCCAAGUUGUGGAGAUUCCUCGCAAGUGGGAUAUAGUAAAGUGAAAGCAAAACACCGUGGUAUUCAAGUGGGUCUUUGGACCGCUUGAAAGGGGUUGAUUGCAACCCUCAUCCAUUGGGACGCCACAACGUGGAGUAGGCAAGUGUUGGACUUGGCCGAACCACGGGAUAAACCACUGUGCCAUCUCUGUGUUGAUCUCUUUGUGGUUAUCGUGUUGUGCAAGCUCUCCUCUCUAGCCACUUGGCUUAAUUGUGCUAACUCCUAAUCAAGUUUUGUGGAUUAAGUUUCAAGUUUUUACAGGAUCACCUAUUCACCCCCCCCCCCUC
This 58941-nucleotide long non-coding RNA is filed under the name Zea mays. Its description in RNAcentral is "long non-coding RNA (ZMAY_LNC002255)". The record is from RNAcentral. Lineage: Eukaryota; Viridiplantae; Streptophyta; Magnoliopsida; Poales; Poaceae.